Molecule: long non-coding RNA, 50052 nt
Filed under: Lactuca sativa (garden lettuce)
Lineage: Eukaryota; Viridiplantae; Streptophyta; Magnoliopsida; Asterales; Asteraceae
Description: long non-coding RNA (LSAT_LNC001060)
Source: RNAcentral
GCUCAUCAACGUGAAAGAACUAGCAGCAGCGUUGUUUGCGUUCGACAUCUACAAUUAGAAAAGGACAAAGAUAGAUUAGAAUAAGAAUCCCUAAUUAUCACCCAAUAAGAAAAUUAGGGCUAGGAUCCAACAAUAACAUUUACAUACUAGAAAAGGGAUGCCGUAAUCUAACAUGCAAAUAAAUUGAAGGUAAGUGAAUGACGAUUCACUAAUUCUCCAUCACAAAACUUAAACUAUUAGUCCUAAGUGUUUUUGAGAAUUCCUAGGUUCGGAUGAGAUUCAUUGAAACUAUUCAAUGGCAUGUUUAAAUCUCGAUAUGCCCCUCUUGUUUGUGACUGGGAUGCCGAGGAUCACAAAGCGGGUGUGAAUUACCAUGCAAAUUCACAUGGUGCCUUCAUUGUAACGAUCACCUAUUCGAUGUGCCGGUAAACCACACACGCUCCAUCGAACUAUGAUAAACAAUGAAUCACCCUUUGCCACCUUCGCUUAGAACCAAUUAGUGUGCCGGUAAACCACACACGCUCCACUAACAUCUUAGCAAGGUGCAAAGUGUAAUUUCAUGGGAUUGCAUCAAUUCACUUUUCCUAAAGUAACUAAGAUUGGGAAAUUUUAAAAUAUGUGUAGUUACUUUGUAUUUCUUAUUAUACUUUUAAUGAGAGGAUGAGGUUGCCCUAUCCUACCCGUUCGGCUAACGACCCUCCACCAAUCAAGCAAGCGGUGGGUGUGAGUGUACACCCAUUAAGCGCCAUUUUAUAGGCCGCAACCUUAUACCCACCUUAUAGAUCGGCUUCGUGAAUGAGGCCUACUAACGGUAAGACUAGCAUUUAGUUAUACAUAUAUAUAUUAUUCUAGUAAUAUCAUAUUAGUAUAGGGUUGUAUUUUAAAACUUUUAAAAUCUAGGGUUUGAAAUUUAAGUUGUCUAAAUUAAAACUUUUAAUCACAAAUAUAAAUUUCAAAACUUGAGGGCAAGUUUUAAACAUUUAAAACAUGGAGGAUCAAAUAACAAAUAAUUCCAAUUAACAAUUAAUAUCCUAAUUAUCUAUAUUUGAUUUUAUUCAAGAUUUCUUUGAAAGAUAAUUACCAAAAUAAUUAAAAUAAUUAAUUAAUUAUCAUAUAAGGAAAUUAAAUAUUUUAUUAGUUGAUAAAUACCUUUAACUAGAUCAAGAUAAUAGUCAUAUAUAUCAAAAAAUCGGAUUUAGAUUGAUCUAUUAUGAUUAAGGUAAGUUUCCAUAAGAUAAUUAUGAAAAAAUCCCGAAUCUGGCCAUUCCUGACGCCUGGACUCGCCGAGUGCACAAGGGGACUCGCCGAGUCAGGCCUACUCGCCGAGUCCACCUUGGAACUCGCCGAGUCAGUGACUCAGAAACCUAAAAAUCGAAUUUUGCAGGUUUGUUUCAGUUAAUCAAGCAACAAUUUAAAGAAAACCAAGCUAGGCUCUGAUACCACUGAUGGGUUUUAGCCAUAAGAACUUUCCUAUGUGCGCAUGCAAAACCCUAAUGCUUGGAUCUAGGCUUUCUAAUAAACAUGCUUUGAAUCCAAGACUUCUAAUGACUAAUUAGGUUAAAUAACAACAUUGAAACAGAUCUAGAAUCAUACCUUUGAGUUCCUUGUUGAUCUUGAGGUCUUGGAGCUUCUAGAGUCACAAAUGUCACUCCUCUAAUGGCUUACAAACACCAAUAGCAAGGAAGAUGAUUUAGGAGAGAGGAGAGGGGAGGAAAUCGGCCAGGGUUCUCUUACUUUAGGAGAGGUGCCGAUUUCCUUAUGCCAUGGGGUCUAUUUAUACUUGUAGACUCCUUAAGGGUUACAACCUAAACCCUAAUUGGAUAAUCUUCUCUUAAGUCUAUCCAUAUCCUUUCCAUAGAUAAGCCUUGGACGAUUUUGAAGCUAUCCUAGCUUCUAGAAUCCGUCCCUAGCAUAUCCAUAAGGAUUUACAGUCUAAAGCUUAACUAUCAAACAAUUGACAGUUUAUACCCCUUUAUUUAAUUAAUCUCUUUAAGUCACCAAAUUAAUUCUAAUUAAUUCUAUGACUUAUAUUAAUCAAAUAACAAAUAUAUUAUUCAUCAUAUUAUUCUCAUAAUAUAUUAAUAAUAUUUACUCUCUCGUAAUAAAUCAUCCUAUCAAGUUGCUAUGGUGAAGGCAACCCAAAAGGACCAUGCACAACCGGGUCAAAUACUUGCCUAAUAUAGUUGCAGCCUUAGACACUAUUCCAACACACAUAUAUAUCAUAAAUGUCAACUACACCUUGAAAAAGUACACCCACUGCAGUGUUCAGCAACAAGUACAAUUUGACACAACUCAACACCUAUAAAUAGUACCCCCACCAGCACACGAGUGUGCAGCCAUACAUGUCUGUGCGGCCGCACACACGUGUGAGGCUGCACACAUACAAGUUCAAAUCACUACACUGCCAAACAUAUACUUCCACCCUAAUCAGAUCUAUACAAAAUUAAUGCCUAGCUCAAACCACAAUAUUAUGGACUUUCAGAAACACCCUUCAUUUCACUUAGCAGGACAAUCGUCGGAAGAAGUUUGGUAGUGAGAUGAUUCCAGAUAGUCAACGUCAAAAAAGGAUCAUGAGCAUGAAUGUAGUUGCUCAGUAUACCCAGGACAUCACCGGAACAGCUCUGAAAAACAGCACGUUCAACCUUCAACAAUUCAAUCUGUUUUUCUGCUUUUUCAAGCCGAACCUUCUGAGCCGCCAGUUCAUCUCUUAGUUUUCGAUCUUCGGUUAAACCAGCAAUGAGUUUCUCCAACCAAGAGUCUAUAGAGGAAAUAUGAGAUUUAUUCUCGGCUUGAAUAUCAUCUCAAACUGCUGCAAAUUUUGCUUGUUCACCUUGAAGCGAUUGUGUUAAAGAAUCAACCGAAGCAUUGAUCAUGGAAGCAUUGGAGUUGGCAUGACUCUAAAGCGACUCUAAGAAAAUUUUAGAUUCAUCAAUAAGCUCCUUGACAUCCUUAGUAGCUUGUUUACACUAAGAAGUGGAGUCAUCCAUAGCAGCUGAACACUUAUCCAUGGAUUGAGUGUAUAGAUCGAAGGCUGUAUCCAUGAAGGCUUUCAUGACAACAUCAACAGGCUUUUAAUAGCACUCAAGUAGCUUGUCAAGCUUCUCAUGAUCACUGACAAGUUGAUCCUUAUUAACCGGGGCAGCAUCAUCAUCUUCAGUCGGCAGCUGGUAAGGACUGUAGUAAGUAGAGUCAUACUCAAAAUCAUCUCCUCCAAGAAUUGGAUUAGAGUCAUUGAAAGCAGUAAGUGUAAUCGGUUUAGUGGUAACGGGAGGUUCAGUACCAAUAAAUGCCCCUGUAUCAGAUACGUUGACACUCACCGGUGGAUCGGUUAUGGUGGAGGUAAUAAUGGGUAUUGUAGUGAUGAUAGGAUGAGUGCUAACAGGUGGUGGUGGGAUUGGUGAAGAAAUUAAUUGUGUAGUAGAAAGCGGAGGUAUUGGAGCAACCAAUUCUGAAACAAUAGAUCGUGGUGGAGAUGAAGGAAUAGGAGCAACCGAAAUUGAAAUAGUGACUUUCGGUGGUGAAGCAGGUGGAGUAGGUACCUUGGUAUGGAGCUCUUCAGUUGGAGUUGGAGAUCUAGGAGGUGUGUCCCCUCUCGGUGAGUCCUCAACAGGAACGUCUUCAUCUUCAUCAGUAAAUUUAGACCUUCUUUCCAUCCUCUUAAUUUUCUUCGGAUGAGCCGAAGAUCCCCCUUUCUCUGAUUUUCGUUUCUUGGAUCCCUCCUUCUCACCUUUAUUUGAUUUUUCAACUUUUGAAAACGCACCCUCUACUGUAUCAAUAGGCAUUUCUUCCUUCUUCUUACCCCGUUUAGAAGGUUUAUCCAUGGCUUCCAAAGUUUCCUUCAUCUCUGGUGUUAAUUGGCGAGGACCAGUAGGGUCGAUCUUGUGAUAAGGUUCCAUGACUAUGCUGUUGAGUCGAACACAUCGAGACAUUGUCUCAGGGAUGGAGCCAACAUGAGUGAAUUUGGAUGCAUCGGCGAUAAUCACCUUCUUGGUGUGAAAAGUGGCUACAGAAGAUAACAAGACAUCCUUCAUCACCGGGAUGUUAAGAGAAGAGAUGGCUCUUUGCAUAACAAUCGUCCAGAAUCGCCCACACGAAACUUUGAAUGCUUGGUCGGGGAAUAUAGACUUUGCACCAGUUAAGACCAAAUCAAUGACCCAUAGUCUAGAUUGAAGCCAUUGUAAAGAAUGGUCAUGAAGCAUUUGUUGGAACCAUCUGACCCUGCUACUCUUUCACCCAAACCCUUAUGAAGUAGAGUUAAUAACCCAUUCCAUUGUGGUGGUAGACAAGACUUCAUGAACUUCGUAAAAGAGAUAAGAACUUCAAUAUAGCCCAUCUCAUAAAACAUGGAAAAGAGCUGAGAUGUUGUAAUGAAGUCAGGAGAGAUCACAGAGGCAUCGAUUGCAAGCCCUAGCAAUAAACAGAAUCGAACUUUUGAAAUCGAAUUCUUGCGAUUGAAGAUCUGAAAGUAAAUCCUAUCCUUGUUCUUUUCAUCUGAGGCACUAGAGUAAACCUCCGAUAACAGGGACAUCGAAACAUAUUCCACCUGAUAUAAUACCAAAACCAUAGGAGAAUACUUCGGACACUCAACCACCUGAAGCAUGUAGUAGCCAUACACACAGAGUUGGUUCAAUGAUCAAGUUCUGGUUGGGUUUGAUCACAAGUAGGGAAGAUGAAGCAGAUCGGUCAUGGUGAGAAGAUGAAUCCGCCAUUGUUGAAGAAAGAAGAUGAACAGUAGAGAAUUUCUUGUUAUAUUCGAGAGAUGGUGAAGAAGGUAAGAAAGGACAAUGGGUGUGAGAAACCCUUUAUAUACCAUUGCCAUGAGAGAGAAAGAAUCGUCUGUUAUGAUUACAUGAUCUUUGAACCGUCGUCUGAAAAAGCGAGAUUUAACAGGUUGGUUUCCCCAGAGAAACGUCAUCACACGUGUGGCUAGGAGCCGUUUCAAAUUUACGCGCCUAUUUCCAUCCUUAUCUAUUAAAUUUGUUCAAAUUCUCAUCCACACAAUGCCUCGUCAACUGAUUGUUCUGUUGGCACAACACAUAGGUCAAGCAAAAUGCACUUGAAAACGAUCAUUAGUAUUUGAGAAAACUUUUAAAAAAAAAUUGUGCAAGAGUGACAAAGAUAAAGAAAUAAAUCAAACGUAUAUAGGAUGUGAGUGAUGUCCUAAACUGACAUAAAGCAGUUGAUUCUGGGCACGAAUCUCUUCCUUCAAAGUCAAGAGAGACUUGAAGUGCUUGCAUGGUUCCCCGUGAAAUUACGAUCGAAUGUCUGUUAAUAAACAUCGAAAGGCUUUUUUUCAACUAUCGGCUCUAAAAUGUGGCUUAUCUCCAACCGAACCUCGAUACUUAAUAUAAGACUUAAGGUCAGGAGAAGUACUUGUCAGACCGAUGUGGUCUGUUAAACAAGUAGGUGAGAUAGGUGUAUAAUUGGUUAGGAAUGUAAAUCUCAAAAAUAAAACAAAACUGGACCUUUUAUGAAGAAACGUCUUAGGGUUAGACAAUUUCAUAAAGAUCUCGCAUAAAAAUGAAUAACAGAUUUCAACCGGUAACAAGUUAAAUCUUGAAUAUUAAAAUUCACUGUUAAUUCAUUAUUGGUACUGGAUGGUGGGUCUCACUUAGUACGUGGUAUACGCAGCUAAGAUCAUCAACACAGGUUUUGUCUAACCAUAAACCUCAGUCAUAAAAACCAAGAGUCUCAAGGGUUACGUUUGUGAACCGAAAGUAGAUGUAGAAUAUUGAUGAGGUGGUUCAAGAAUCAAAAGUACCUCUGCUGUUAAAGAUUGACAAAGCAGCAGACUCUCAACUAAUUUGAGAAGAGUAAGGUAGCUCGUGACGUGAGUGAAUUUGGCCUGAUUGGGUAGAAACGAUAGGUAUAGAUCGAAUCAUUAAGGCCUUACUCAGAGUCUUUGAGGCUUCGGUCUACAUGCAGCAGCAUACUUCUAGGGACACCUAACUAGUUGUAUAAUGAGAAAUUUCAUACCGUCCCUUGCUGUAAGAUCACGAACUUGUAUGUCUUACAGAUCUGAAAAAAAUUAAGAAAGCAAACGAAAUAAAAAAAAAAUUGGAAAAAAAAACUUAAUAAAACUUAGAAGAAAAAUAUUUUUGUGUUUUUGUUGAAAAUUAUAAUAAAAAAAAUUCAAAAAUAAUAGAAAAAAAUAAUAGUAAAAAAAACUUAAUUUAAAUAGAUAAGAAAAUAGUGAACAAAUAAUACAAAUUAUACUAAUCAUACAACAUAAACAAACCUUUAGAGAUUUAAAAUGAAAUAGACCGUGCAAUCAGCUAAUAUCAGUUCCUGAAAAGAAUGGAGCCGAAAUAGACCGAGCAAUCGGCUUAUAUCGGUUCCUAAAGUUACGGAGCCGAAAUAGACCGAGCGUUCGGUUCAUUUCGGUUCCUUAUUUUCAUGGAACCAAAAUAGACGGAACCACGUUCUAUUACAUUUAGCUAAUCUUUUAUGUAGACAAAAGAUGGUUCGAUAUGGACUCUGCUUCGAUCAUACCUAAGCCAUGUAGUAUUCUAUUAAAAGUUGCUUUAGGUAAUGCCUUGGUGAAAAUGUCAGCAAGUUGAUCUGAUGAUCGAACAAAGUGAACUUCCACAUUUCCAUCUUCAACAUGGUCUUUGAUGAAGUGCUAUCUCAGUGCAAUAUGUUUGGUCUUAGAGCGUUGCACUGGAUUAUGACAUAUCCUUAUCGCACUUUCAGAAUCACAGUAAAUCGGAAUCUUCUUCAUACUUAAACCAUAAUCUCUGAGCUGACUUUGUAUCCAUACCACUUGCAAUGUACAUGAUGUAGCUGCAAUGUAGUCAGCCUCGGCUGUUGAAAGCGACACACAUGUCUGCUUCUUUGACUGCCAGCUAACAAGCUUGCCAUCAAGGAAUUGGCAUCCUCCUGUUGUGCUCUUUUGGUCCAAUCCGCAUCCACUAAGAUCUGCAUCUGAAAAUGCUUGAAUAAAGAAACCUUAAUUUGCUGGGUACCAGAGACCGAGAGAUGAGGUUCGCUUUAGAUAGCGAAAGAUGUUCUUUAUGGCUAUCAUGUGAGGUUCUCUUGGAUUAGCUUGAAAUCUAGCACAAUAGCAGACCGAGAACAUUAUACUGGUCUACUAGCCGUUAAAUACAUGAGAGAACCUAUCAUCUGACGAUAGAGUGUCAUGUCUAGAGCCGGUUUAUCCAGGGAUGGCGUCAAUUUCGUGACAAACGCCAUAGGAACCUUCACUUUCGAAUCUCCCUUCAUUCCAAUUUUUGUUAGCAAGUUCUUGGUGUAACCCUCCAGAUUUAUGAAUAUUCCUUCUGGUCCCUGUCUAAUGUUCAAUACAAGAAAAAAGUUAAUCAGACCCAUUGUGCUCAUUUCAAAUUUUGUCUCCAUCAACUUCCUGAAUUCAGCUGUUAGGCUAGGAUUCGUGGAGCCGAAGACGAUGUCAUCAACAUAGAUUUGAACAAUCAUCAAGUGUUCGCCCUCUUUCUUACGAAAGAAGGUUGGGUCAACCGAACCUUGUUUAAACUUAGACAUUUUAAGGAAACGAGUCAAGGUUUCAUACCAUGCUCUCGGUGGUUGCUUUAGACCAUACACUGCUUUGUCUAGAACAUAGCAAUGAUCAGGAUACUUUUCAUUUACGAAACCAGGUGGCUGUUCUAUGUAUAAUGUCUCUUCCAGUUCUCCAUUUAAGAAGGCGCACUUCACAUCCAUUUGAAGGACUUCGAAGUUUUUGUGAGCAGCAUAUGCAAGGAGCAAACGUCUCUUCAUAGUCUAUCCCCUCUACUUGGCAAUAUGAAUUCAGUACUAGCCGAGCCUUGUUCCUGAUGACAUUUCCUUCUUUAUCCAUCUUGUUCCUGAAUACCCAUUUUAAUCCAACCACAAAAGCAUCGUUAGGAGUGGGAAUCAAUCUCCAAACACGAUUUCUUUCGAACUCAUUCAGUUCGCCUUGCAUUGCAUGUACCCAAUCAGCAUGAUCAAGUGUAGUGUUGACCGUCUUUGGUUCAAUUUUGGAGACAAAUGAAUUAAACAUGCAAAAUUCGACUUGAGAAAAUAAUGCAGUUUGCUUCGCUUUCAUUUGAGAUCGAGUAAGAACUCUUUUUGAUGAUUCACCAAUGAUCUGUGUUUUGGGGUGAUCCCUUGUCCAUUUAAUCAGGGGAGGAUAAUUUGGAUCAUAAGCUGCAUCCAAUUCUGCAUUGACCUCUUCUUCGAGUUCUGAUUCAACAUCUUCAUUAUUUGUAUUAUCAUUCUCCCCUCAAAUGGCGAAGUAUAUCCAACGUUAGGUUCAGGUAUUUCUCCCUCAGUUAGAGUGUGAUUCCCCCCCCCCUCGCUUAGAGAUGGAUUCUCCCCCUCGACUUGAGAUGGAUUUUCCCUUGCAGCUGGAUGCUCCCCCUCGACUUGAGCUUUAGGAUUUGGAGUCAGAUGCUCCCCCUCGACACGCACCUUUGUUGUGUUUAAAACAAAAGGUUGAUUCUCGGCUGCUUUAGGAGGAUCGGUUUCAGCAGCAUGUACAGCUUCAUCGACGAUUUUCUUCAGAUGAUCAACUUUGUUGUCUGCUGCAUUCUCCUCCGAAUUGAUGGCAUGUUCGGGUUCAUCGAAUAACCUUGUGUAUUCUUCAAAAAACUUGGAAAUUGGAGCCGAGACUAGACCAGUUUCAGGGAAGAUGUCUAGUGUAGUUUUGUCGGUUGACUGAAUUUUCUUAACAUAAUUGUCAUCAAAGGUAACAUAGUAGGUUUCUUUGAGAUGCUUGGAUCGUUUGUUUAGAACCCUAUAUGCCUUUGAGGUCAGAGAAUACCCUAGAAAUAUCCCUUCAUCUGCUUUGACAUCAAACUUGUUUCGGUUCUCCUUGGAGUUAAAAAUGAAACAUCUGGAACCGAACACAUGGAAAAAUUUUAUAUUAGGCUUUUGAUUGUUUAGGAUCUCAUAUGGGGUUAAGGUAAAUCUUUUGUUAAGAAGGGAUCGGUUCUGAGUGUAGGAAGCACAUGCGAUGGCAUCAGCCCACAAAUACACAGGAAGUGAAGCAAAAGAUAGAAUCGUGCGGGCAGCUUCACAUAGAGAUCGGUUUCGCCUUUCAACGAUUCCGUUCUGCUAUGGAGUGUAAGGAGCAUAGAAGUUGUGAGUUACUCCUCUUUCAGACAAGUAGUCUUCAAACUCCUUAUUUUUUAACUCAAUCCCAUUAUCGCUUCAAAUGUUCCUUACAUUCUUUCGCAGUUGCACCUCGACCUGCUUAAUAAAUACUUUCAACUUGGUAGUUGCUUCAGAUUUUUGUUUAAGAAAGAAAACCCAGGUGAAGCGAGAAAAAUCAUCUACAAUAACAAGUAAGAACUUACUACCACCAAUGCUUUCGAUAGCCGAAGGUCCACACAAGUCAACAUGCAGAAGCUCAAGAGGUUCAAUGAUCUUUGUAUUGAUGCGCGUGGGAUGACUCUUUCGGCUCUGCUUUCCCAUCUCACAUGCUGCACAAAGGUUCUCCUUAUCGAAUUUUAGAGGGGGGAGACCUCGAACAUGGUCACCUAGUACUAGUUUGUUGAUGUCAUUGAAGUUCAGAUGCUAGAGUCGUCUAUGCCAUAACCAGCUUUCAUCGGAUUUUUCUUUAGCUAGUAGACAUAUCAUAGGUUUGCCCUUGAGAGGGUUGAGAUUGAGAGGAUACAUCUCUCCCUUGCGUUGAGACUUCAAUAGAAAUUUCUUCGUGUUCUUCUCAAUGAUUUCUGAUCCCUCAUCAUCAAACGACACUUUCAGUCCAGUUCCAACCACUAGUUGCGAAACACGGAUGAGGUUGUGCUGUAAACCUUCCACGUACGUAACUUUUCUAAUUAAGAAUUCCCCAUUUGUUAUCAUACCAUAUCAUUUUAUUGUUCCAAAUGAGUUGUUUCCAUACUUCACACAUCCACCAUAUUUUAGGGACCGAAACUCCCUCAACUCUUCCUUCCUUCCUGUCAUGUGACGUGAGCAACAACUGUCAAUACACCAUUCUUCAUCGAACUGCUCGUCACUUAACACCUGCGAAUUUAAGUAGAUUUAGGAACCCAAAUUUUCUUAGGCCCUGGUAAGUUUUUCCUAGAAAAGGGAAUAACAGCAGCAAGAUCAACCAAAUAUGUUCGUUUAACUAAAGUGGUUUUGUCUUUGCGUUUGAUGGUGUACACCUUUAUUUUAUUUUUAUCUUGUUUAAAUUGAGGUAUAUUAGAUGGUGUUUUGUUAACAGGAAUUGUCAUAGUAUUCCUAGGUUCAGUAUCAUUUUUCUCAACGUCAAACUUUCUUUUUCCUUUAACAUCUUUCAAGAAUUGUGAACCGAGACUGGAGGUUCCGCUUUGAUCCUUGGGUUUUGAACCGAGACUGGAGGUCUGGCUCUGAUCCUUGGGUUUUGAACCGAGACUGGAGGUACGGCUCUGAUCCUUGGGUUUUGAACCAAGACUGGAGGUUCGGCUCUUUUAGUGAAAGGAAUUUUAGAGUGAAAGGAAUUUGGACCGAAACUAGGCUUUCGGUUCAGCUGACUGCCUGCCUUGUAUGAUUGAUUACUAGCUUGAGCACCCUUCUUGAUUUGGACAAAGUCAAAAUUUUGAGACUUCCAAAACUGUUUUCUUUCACGCAAGUUUUUCAUAUACCUUUGAUUUCUUUGGCGCUUUUGAUCAACCAGUUGUUUUUGAGAUUUAUGGAUAUUGAAGCUUGGUUUUGGCUUUGCAUUUUGAUUUGGAUUUUCCUUAAAAAUUAUGGUUGGAUGAGACUCCUUACUGGGUUUUUCUCGUAUCUCUUUCGUUCCACUUGUGCUUGGUUUGGCAAAACUUGAGGGUUUGUUAAUAGGUUCUGGUACGUAUCUACCUUUCACCCUCCAUGAAGUUUGCUCUGACAAGCUAACAGUUUCGUUUGCAUUAUCAAUAGGAGCUGACCAGAAGAAAUCAUCAUAACCUCCAGCGUCGUCUUGAUCUAUCAAAAUUUUUAGUUCUGCUGUUUGUCUUUCUGUUACUCCUUUAACAGCAUAGACUUGAUUUGGAACCGUUCGAACUUUUUGGUAGACCACUGCCUUUUCUUUGAGUUUCUUUGACUUAUUGUCUGACAAGCGAGCGUAUUCAACCAAGUUUUCGGAUAUAAGUGGCCUUUCGAUCUUGGUUUCGCUCUUUAGAAACUCUAAGCAAUCGAUUACGUCUUCCACAGAGAUCUCACUCAUCUCACUUUCAUCAUCGAACUCAGAUGUACUAUUAAUAUUCAUCUUAUGUUCGAUCAUCAAUUUGGCAUUUGAUGACUCAAAUGAUUCUAAGGUUUCAGAUUUAAUUUUUGACUUAUCGUUUUCAUCUAAGAGUUGUUUUAACAUACAUUUAUGUUCCUUAGAAUUAAUAAAAGUUUCAAUUUUGUCUAGACCUAUUUUAUAAGAAAUGGAAGUUUCUUCCGAGGAAAUGAUUGAUUCACAUUCAGCAAUGACCUCAUCCUCCUUGAACUCAAGAAAGGGCAAGAUCAUUUUAUGAAUCUUUUUCCCUAUUUCACAAUCUAAUUGUGUGAUAUUAGUAUAUAAACGUUUAGCAAUCAAGCAAAAACAUUACGUUGUUUCAAAAAUCUCAAAUUGUCUCUUUGCAAAUAAAUUAUUUCAUCCCUAUCUCUAACUAACUCCUGCUCCUUCAGCUCAAUCCAUAUUUGUCUCUCCUCACUCUUCGUUCACAACCUGCUAAUUUGGUCAGUUAGGUUAGAAUUUGUUAAGCGAUUUUGCAUGAGACUUUCGCUGAGAUUAUUGAAUUUGAAUUUUUAGUUCAUUUAAUUCCUUUUCAUAAUCAAUUGCAGGAAUUUUAAGAGAUUCGAGAAGGGAUUGUACCUUUUGGAUCAAACGAUCACAGUUGUUAAUCUUCUCACUAACAGGCUUGGCUACAAAGCAUUUGUCUUCAUGCAGAUUCGAUUCCUCAUGCUCACUCUCGGUUGGUACUCCAGCCGUCACCAUCAGGCAUCUUCUAGUCACUUUCUCAUCCUCCUUUCUCGCCACUAAAGCUUUACCGUGUGUCGAUCUUCUCACUUCUUCACCCUCUGAAUCUGUGGACCACACUUCAACUCCGCCAAAUUCGUCAUCGAUCACCUUUUCUUGAACAAUCAAGGCAUUCAUUGGACCAGCACUAGUUUUCUUCUUCUUUAUCUCUUCAAGCUUUCUCGGAUGAUAAGCUUCAUCAUCUUCACUCUCUCUUCUCUCGGGUAACUUUUUCAACAUGCAGUCCUUGGCAAAGUGAUUCUUGCCGUGAUAGUAAUUGCAAUCAUACCCUAAGUCACCCACCAGUUUGCUCUCUUUCUUUCAUCCUUCUUCUGAGAAGUAUUCUUCGACUCUUCCUUUACCUUUUCUGAAUUAUAGCUUCCCUACCAGUUUUGGUUCUUACUGACAGGGAAUUUCUUCCGAGAAAACUUCUUUGGAUUCGACACCAUCAUCGCAUACUCAUCACUCGUAAGAUCACACUCCGACAUGUCAUAUUCCUCUUCUUCUUCAAUCACAUUUUUGUUCUUCGAGACAAGAGCUAGUGAACCGACACCAGAGACCAACUUUGCUUCUUUUGACACUAUGCUUUCAUGAGACUUUAGAAUUCCCAUAUGUUUUGCUAGGGAAUAAGCCUUGAAUUGUUCAUACGCCUUCACAGUUGAGACAACUGCCAUCCACUCUGGUCUUCAACCGUUCAGGAAGGUGACUUUCUGUUCAGUAUACCAUGCUUUGUCAUCUUGCUGGACAAAUGAUUGUAGCGAUCAAACAUCUGAAGCAAGGUUUCUUUAGGCUUUUGUGCAAAUUCCCCAAACUAGGAGAGAAGCAGAGUUUGAAUGGAGUGCUCUAGAUCCUCAUUGGUUGAAUAUAGUUCUUUCAACCUGUCCCAUAUCUCCUUAGAUAUAGUGCAUGAACUCACUAAUCGGAAGGUGUUAGCUUGUAAAGAGAAUCUGGUUAUUCUUAAUGCCUUGACAUUACACAACAGUUUAUCCUUUUCGUCCUGAGGAAUCUUAUCCACGUCUACAAUCAGUUUGUUAUAUUCCUUUUGGGUUUUCACAGUUGUAUUCUUUCCAGAGUGAACAAAAGGACCCAACAUGAUUGCUUCCCAGAUGUGUAACAGCUCAAAUUUUCAAAUAAAUUUUUCAUUUAAAACAAAACAUCGUUAUUCGACAAAAGAGUUUAUUCCAAGUUGAUUGCAAAAGUAUAAAUAAUAAAUCUCCAAGAUCUUCAGCAAUGGCAAUGUGUACGUGUCAUGCCGGCGCCUUCCCACGGUCAUCACUAGUACCUGAAAAACGUAAACACAACUAGUAAGCAUAAAUGCUUAGUGAGUUCCCCAGUAUACGACUUACCCACAUACGCCUUCCGGCCCGGACCUUUCGGUCCACAUAACAUUGCCUUCCGGCCCGUAACAUAAUCGCCUUCCGGCCCGUAACAUAUCGCCUUCCGGCCCGUAUUAAAUUGCCUUCCGGCCCAUAGUAAUUUUGCCUUCCGGCCCAUAAUAGAAUAAAACAUAACACACGUAACAUAACGCACAUAACACAUAAGUCAUACAUCAUACCGUUCUUUCUAUCACAUAAAGUCUCGCCUUCCGGCCCGUAUAAGCAUACAUCACAUAUAAGCAUACAUCACAUAUAAAGCAUCUACCUCUCUAGACAUAGCAUAAAUAUAACACAUACGACCUUCCGGUCACACAGUCAAACCCUUCCGGGUGAAGUAUAGUGAGAAGACUCACCUCGUAGUAUGCAAGCUAUAAACCCUUUGAGCUACUCGCACUCGAUCCGCUAAUCCGCAGGUUCCCUAUAAUACCACAUACCUUUAUUAAUGAUCUUAUCAAACAAGACAAUUGACCCUACUAAGUUACAUACAGGUCAACGGUCAAUCUUGACCGGACUCGUCGAGUGCAAAGGGCAACUCGGCGAGUAUAGACACCCCGACUCCACUCGCCGAGUCUAAAGGACGACUCGACGAGUUCUAGUAGAUCUUCAAGCUACUCGCCGAGUCUGAAGAACAACUCGGCGAGUCCUAGUGAAUCUUCAAGCUACUCGCCGAGUCUGAAGAACAACUCGGCGAGUCCUAGCCAUGCAGUCAAUCCGCUGCCUCCUGUAUUUCGCAUGAUUUCGAAGUAUAAAGAUAUGGGGCUUCCUGGACUUUCACAUACACUAUUACAGGGGUUUUUAAACACUUGCAACAACACUAUAAUCUAACAAUUCCUCAAAUGGGUUUCCUAAACCCUAAAUUCGCAUACAACGUAAAAGCUACAGAUUAUGAUCCGAAGAUUACCUGGAAACGUGUUCCCUGUGUCCCCAACCUCCAGUACUCGACUCCUUGGACUUCCUUUGAUCACCACCUUGCCUCUCCUUGUCUAACAAUCUCUUCAAGCUUCCUCUAGCCCUCACUCUUGCUCCCGAUGCCCACAAACUCCCAAGGUAUCUUCAAUCGGCCAAAAAGACGCGACAUGACGGCCAUAAGAUCAUUAUAUACGAUUCAGAAUCGAAACGGCUAGGGUUCAGCCGAACAGCGUCGAAUCGCCGAGUCCCUAUUGGACUCGUCGAGUCCAGUCGCGUAUCUGCGACCAAGACCAUGGCCCUACUCGGCGAGUCAUGCACCAACUCGCCGAGUCCCCUCCUAAAUGUGCCCCAAAACUAAUUUAAAGGAAUACCUGAAAUUCCGGGCUGUUACAAGAUGAGAUACCCAUUAUCAUCAGAUCCAAUCACAUAAUCUUCAAAGUGAUGCACCCACACUUCAUAAUCCUGCGUGUAAAUAAUGGGUACUCUUGUAGAAGAUCUGAUGUUGUUGGAGAUGUUGAUGGGAUUAGAUUCUACGUCGUCUUGAGACAUGAUGAGCCUUCCUUGAAACUAUUAGAGUCUGACCUGUAAACUUGAGAAUAGGGUUUUAUCCAAAACACUAGUUUUCGUCAAUAGGAAAACGGCGGCUCCUAAGUAAUCGAUAAAAGCGGAAACCCUUUAGUAUUCUUCAAACAAAAAGGAAUGUGUAUUUGUUACACAGUCUCUUCCUCUGAUACCAACUGAAGAGUUUAAAAAUCUAGUAGGAUCGAUAUGUUCUAAACGGUGAAUAAAGCAAUAAGAACAAGACACAGGAAUGGCUCAAACAAUAAUGAAUGAUUAAGCUUUAACACCCCAGAAGAGCUCGAUGAAGAACUUCGACUGUAUAGGUGUUUUUAGGGUUACAGAACGAUAAUCAAAGUAAAACUUAGGAACUAAUCUUAAUGCAUACAUUCAUCCACUAUAUAUAUACUACAUAACCCUAACAAAACACGGAUGGACAAGCCUAAUCCGGUAAUUCAAAACAAAGCCCAUGAUGCAACAUAUUUAUCCUACACUUAAGUUUCCAAACUUACCAUUUUGCCACUAGGGCCACCUUUUGCCACUUCCUUCUACAUCAAGGGCCAAAAUAACCUAAUUAGAAUCCGAGGGGGUGAAUUUGAAGCUACUGGAAAAAUGGGAUGUUACAAUAUAUAAACUAAAUUCCAAUAUUAAAAUAAUAUAUUUACUUCUAUUGAUAAAUUUAUGUUUUUUAACUUUUAACAUAUUAUACUUAAUUUAUUAGUUUUAAUAUAUUAUUGGAUGUAAACCAUUAUCAUUUUAAAGAUACAAAUUGUGACAACCCGAUAUUUCAACUCUAUGUAAUGACCUAAAAGUCAAGUAUUGUAACCACUUUUGUGAUAAUGAAAUUAACUUCGAAAAUAAAAUGUCCAAAAAGUUUCUAUUUAAUUACCUACUAUGAUAGAUGUCAUCAAACCAUGAUCGUACGUAAAAAGAAUGCCCAAAUACAACUUCGUAUAUUGAAAUUAUGAUUUUUCCAAGUUCGGCUUAGCGACAGACUGCUAAAAACUCGAAUCGGAGAUCGACCAACUUUUGACCGGAAUGACCUAAACGAGAAUCGAAGGUCUCGACAAUGAUAUUUCAGCGGUAAAAAGUCUGGAAAAAACAGAUGUCAGAUAAAGAAGUUAUGAAUUUCUAAAGAAAUUUUCUUAAACGCGACCGUUUAAAAAUAAAUAAUAAAAACAAUUUCAAAAUUUGCCGACGGAAUCUAAACGAAAGUUGUAGAGCAUAGUCUCACCUACGCGUGGAUAUAAAGAACGUCGAAAACGGAGUUCGUAUGAAGAAGAUAUGAAUUUUAGAAGUUUAUUAAAUAAAUAAAAUAUAAAUUUCAUUAUUUAUCCUUGGUAUUAUCCGAAGGCAGGUCAUCAGAUAGGGCCGAGUUACGCCCAGCGUAAUCUCGUACGCCUAGCGUACUCAAGGCCUAGGCCUCAGAUCGUCCACGUCUCGCCCUAUGCGAAGCUAGCCUUGUCCCAUCCGAAGUCCGAGGCAGUCGGGGAUCCGGUCAUGCGUGACGCACACGUACGCCCAGCGUACUCGCGUACGCCCCGUGUACUCGCGUACGCCCCGUGUACCGAGGCGGUUCCCACCCCCUAUAUAAGGGAUGCGAGGGUUUCGAAGAAAAGGGCCAUUCUCUCUCAUUUCUCUUGCGUUCUUGCCUCGUUUUCCAUGCCCGUGCUAACCCGAAGCCCGGGUCACUUUGCUCAAGUUCCGAAGGUCGUUUGUGCUCCCGAGAUUCCGAGAAUCCCAAGAAAAUCCGUUUCCCUGAGAAAAAAUUCUGCCCGGUUUUCAUCUCGCCUUUCUUCGAUCUUUCAAGUGAUUUCAUACCCCUUAAUUAACCUUUUAAAUGUUCUAUAAAUGCUUUUAUAUGCUUUCAAUGGGGGGAAUACAAGUAAAACACACGAUUAUUAUCGUGUGUUAUAUAAUGUUUUAUUAUACACUUUUAUUCAAUAGAAUCAUAUGUGAUUUAUAAACUUUAUAGGGAACUUUCUUAUGUAAAGUAUAUCACGAUAACAUUAUAUCUUUUUGAAAUGAAAAGUGUUGUUAUAUAUGUAUAAAGUAAACACCCUGCUUAGUUUACAUGUAUAUGUGUCCAACUUAGACACUAUAAAAAUCUAUACUUUCAUACCAAGUGAUUCAUUUUCUAGGGAUUUCUAAACAAACGAGACACACUUUUAGAAAGCUAUAAUAGGUAUAGUUUUACGAGAAUAUUGCUAACUUUUACAUAUUAGAAACACAAUUUUCAAGAAGUCACUUUCAGAUACAAGAAACAAACAAACAUUUUCACAUGUAAAUCUGUUUUUAUACUAAGAUUUGUGAGACAUUAACUUCACGUACAUUCGAGUACACAUUUCAAGUCCUAUAUUACAUACCAGAAUCCCUUGGAGGGGGAGCAUGGUGUUUGUGUAUAGAUCUAUACAAGCUUGACAACUCGCGCCCUGACUGUUAGCUAUAGUCCACCAUUUUGGGUGACAAACGUCAUAACAUUCCAACGCCUGAAGAACGUUGUGUAUAGGCAAUCCGAGUCAAUAGUAUGGUUAUAAAACUCACAUGGGGUAUUAAAAAUACAUUGAUUUACGAGGUUUUNAAUACAUUGAUUUACGAGUUUUUAUUCAAACAUAUUGGAUAUUUUACACGUACAUACAUUUUCUAAAAACAAACAUUUGUCUUGUUAGAAGGCUACAUUUAUUCUAGUAGAAAAUAUGGGAUUUUCUAGAAACAAGCAAACAAAAACAAAACAUUUCAUUUCAUACAAACAUUUUCAUUUAAUACUUAUGAAACUCACCAGCUUAAAUACUGAUCUACUCUUUCAAAACUACUUGUAUGUCCCAGGAUUCAGUAAUUACAGGUAUCAAACAACUUUUGAAGAAGGGACGCUGCGUCGUCAGUUUAACUUCAUAUUUUGGCAUCAUAUUGUAAUUGGUUUUGAACAUGUACUUUUCAAACAAUGUAAACUUUCAUUUAUAUAUAUGAUGGUUGUAUUGCUUUCUUUACUAUGUAUUCAUUUGUUAUGCUACCACAUGAAGUCAUCCGCCCCCGAACGUUUCCUCCGUUCUGGUUUGGGGGUGUGACAAAUUGGUAUCAGAGGAAUGUUUAUGGUGAACUAAGUAUAUCAAACCACAUAAGAUAUACAAACUAUAAAUGCUUAAGGGACUAAUACUCUCUGAUAAAACAUUUUCUUAUGUUUUGUUUUACGCCUAAGACGCGUUUCGUUUAACUUUUAAUGUUAAUUCAUUCAAGUACAAAUACAUACAUACAACAAACAUGUUUUCAUGAUUAUAACUAUACAAGAAGUAUUUAGACAAGUUGAAAACUACGAUUAAGACUCGAUAUAUGUAAUCGGAUUUGGGACAAAUAUAGCAUGAUCAACUAUAUUUGUCCGAGAUCGGACCAAUAUAUAUUGAGGAUUGCUCGUAGUACGCAACAAGUCAAAACUUACCAAAACAUCACGGGAAUCAAACACACGAAUUUAAAUACUAUAGGAGUAUUUAUUUCGUAGGAUAGCUUAUCAUACCUGUUUAGACUUACAUGUUCCAAACAUUAUUCGAUUCUUAUAACCCUAUUCUCGUACAGUCAAAUGGCUGGAUUUCACCACCCCGGCGACCCCUACUAUUCCAACCAAGGCAACGGGGGAUCGAUCGAAGUGGAUCACGAAGAGGACGAAGAACCCAUAGAAUUGGAUGAUGACUCCGGUACCGACUCAGAGCCGGAAGUGAUCAAUCCACCACCCGCACAACCUCCCGUCUUCGUAAGGAACUUUCAAGGACCGACUCCCGUCUGGGGAAGUCACCUCCACCAUUGGAGCCAACAAGAAAACCUACGCCCUCCCUACCGCAUGUGUCGAUACUUCUACAAUGUCCGCGGCGGAGGUUCAGCUGAUCGGGCACUACCAGUAACGGUGGGCAAGCUAUCCAAUCAGUCCUACCAAUCCGGAGUUCAAGCUAGCCGGAUUCGGGAUAUCAACGUAGAAGUACAGGUUGACACUUAUGACAUCUGUAGGCUGGACAGAAUUCAAGACAAUGCCCUACUCCAAACUGAGGCAUUCCAAGCUCAAAUGAUUGCAGCCCUAGCCGAAUUGAGGGAACAACAAGCCGCUUUUGAUAGGCGUCUAAUGGAAUCGAAGCAAUCGGAUGCGGAGUCAAGCUCCAAGCGCAACCCACGUCGCAAGUAGUGCUUGCCAAAAUCUCAAAUUUUGUUAUAAGUUAGGAACUCGGCUAAAAGUUUUUAAAUUUCUUAAGCUUUGUAACCGGAGAACCUUAUAGGGGUCAAAUUUUUGUGAUCAUUGUAUCAACUAUUAUAUUAAUAUAAGUGGCACUAUUAUUACUACGUAGAGUAUUUCAUUCAAUCCUUAAAAAGUUAUAGAAAAACCAAAUGCUUGUUUCAUAUUUUUAGUCUUACAAAUAACUUUCAUUCUUCUAUUUUGGGACUUGUACUAUCAUCUGUCGUUAGACUAUAGAAAUCUAGUUCAUAAGACACAUUCAGUUUCUAUACUAAGGAAUUCUUAUCGUUAUCUUUUCAACCUAUAGUUGAAGGAUGCCUCCGCGUAGGAACCCAAGGCGAAACAACGGUGGGGAAGCACCUAUACCACCACCACCUCCACCNNNNNNNNNNNNNNNNNNNNNNNNNNNNNNNNNNNNNNNNNNNNNNNNNNNNNNNNNNNNNNNNNNNNNNNNNNNNNNNNNNNNNNNNNNNNNNNNNNNNGAGAGAAUACUGUCCACAAGGAGAGAUUCAAAAACUCGAGCACGAGCUCUGGACUANGGACUAUUGGAAUGAUUGGUACCGACAUAGCAACUUAUACCAACAGAUUCUGCAAUCUGGCAAUCCUUUGCCCAGAUAUGAUUGCUCUUGAGAGCAAGAAAAUAAAGAGAUACAUUUGGGGACUGUCGCCCCAAAUUCGGUCAAGUGUGUUAGCUUCAAAACCUGACACUUUCGAAAGUGCCAAGGAACUGGCACAAUCUCUUGUUGACUACGGAGGUCAUCAAAACUCGACAGUUUUUGCACCAGAACCACAGAAGGGAAACAACAACAACAAUAACAGGAAGAGAGUAUGAAAUAAAGGGAAGGGUGGGUCUUCCCAGGAAUCCGCGAAGAGGUUUCAGUGAACGUUGCCACUGUACCUACUACCGUUCCUACAAAUCCCUACCCAACAAAGACUUAUGGGGGUAACCUUCCAAAGUGCACUAAAUGCACUUACCAUUAUCAUGGACCUUGUCAGGAAAUGCAGUGCUCCAACUGCAAUAGAAAGGGACACACUGUCCGUUUCUGCAAGGAUCCCGCAAAGCCGAUCACUCAAGUUCCCAGCACGGUUGUAGGCGAAACUUGCUACGGUUGUGGCGAGGUGGGCCACUACAAGAGAAACUGCCCAAAGGCAGCAAAUACCGGCGGGGUAGGACGAGUUUUGGCUAUAGGCCACGAUGAAGCUGUAGCUGAUCCGACUGUAGUUGCUGCUACGUUCCUUCUUGAUAAUUCAUAUGCAUGCAUAUUAUUCGAUAGUGGAGCGGAGAGGAGCUUCAUGAGUCAAAACAUUAUUCACUUACUUAAACGUAAACCUAGAAAGUUAGAAAAAUCAUUCACUAUAGAAAUGGCAAACGGAUUAACAGAAAACACUAACUGCAUAUACAUGGGCUGUACUUUAACUUUAGACGGUCAUUCUUUCCCAAUCAACCUCAUGCCAGUCCAAAUUAAAAGUUUCGACGUCAUAGUCGGCAUGGAUUGGUUAAGUCUUCUUUGCACCGACAUCAUGUGCUUUGAGAAAGCAGUUUGUCUUAAUCUCUCUAACAACGAAACAUUAGUGAUUUACGGUGACAAAUCAAGUACAAACCUUUGCAUCAUUUCGUGCAUCCAAGCUCAAAUGUGUUUACGGAAGGAUUGUCGAGAAUUCCUAGCACACAUCGUCGAUACGAGUCAGGAACUGAAGGACAUCAAGAACAUUCCAGAAGUACGCGACUUUCCCGAUAUCUUUCCGGAAGAACUACCGGGAUUAACACCACAACGCCAAGUCGAGUUCAGAAUCGACUUAGUUCCAGGGGCUACCCCAGUAGCGAAAUCGCCUUAUCGUCUGGCACCAACAGNGAACUUUCCAGUCAACUUAAUGAACUCCUUCAAAAAGGAUUCAUAAGACCAAGUUUCUCACCUUGGGGAGCACCGGUCUUGUUCGUAAAGAAGAAAGACGGAUCGUUCCGUAUGUGCAUUGACUACAGAGAACUGAACAAACUUACUGUCAAAAAUCGUUAUCCUCUACCCCGCAUUGACGACCUAUUUGAUGAACUUCAAGGAGCAAACUACUUCUCGAANCAAUUACGAGUUCUAGAGGGGGACAUUCCAAAGACAGCCUUCCGAACUCGUUAUGGACACUAUGAGUUUGUAGUGAUGCUGUUCGGAUUAACCAAUGCACCAGCAGUAUUCAUGGACCUAAUGAAUAGGGUGUGCCAUCCUUACUUAGAUCAGUUCGUCAUCGUCUUCAUCGAUGACAUACUUAUCUACUCCCGAAGUAAGGAAGAGCAUAGUCAGCACCUACGAAAAGUCUUAGAAACACUGCGAUCAGAGAAACUCUAUGCGAAGUUCUCUAAAUGCGAAUUUUGGAUUCGAAGAGUCGAAUUUUUAGGUCACGUUGUUAGCGAGAAAGGUAUACACGUGGACCCCUCCAAAAUUAAGGCUAUUGAGAACUGGUCGGCACCAAAGACACCUACAGAAAUUCGUCAAUUUCUAGGUCUAGCUGGCUACUAUCGCAGAUUCAUAAAGAACUUUUCGAGCAUUGCGAAACCUCUUACUUCAUUAACCCAGAAAGGUGUGGCCUUUGACUGGGAAGCGAAACAAGAGAAGGCAUUCCAGACACUAAAGCAGGCCUUGUGCACCGCACCGAUACUAUCCCUCCCCGAAGGGAUAGAAGACUUCGUAGUGUAUUGCGAUGCUUCAAAUCAAGGACUUGGUUGUGUUCUUAUGCAGAGAGGGAAGGUUAUCGCUUAUGCCUCCCGACAGCUUAAGACACACGAAGUGAACUAUACGACACACGACCUCGAGUUAGGAGCAGUGGUAUUUGCUCUGAAGAUCUGGAGGCACUACUUAUACGGAACAAAGAGUACUAUAUUCACCGAUCACAAGAGCCUUCAACACAUUUUCGAUCAGAAGGAACUCAACAUGCGACAACGACGAUGGGUUGAGUUACUGAAUGACUACGAAUGCGAAAUUCGUUAUCAUCCUGGCAAGGCCAACGUAGUAGCCGACGCCCUCAGUCGAAAGGAAUACACUGGUCGGAGGGUCAAAUCUCUGACCAUGACUAUCCAUUCCCACUUAUCCACACAAAUUAAGGAGGCACAAAUGGAAGCUUUGCAACCUGAAAAUGUGGCAGGUGAAUCCCUGCGAGGAAUGGAGAAGAAUCUAGAAGUCAAGGGUGGCGGAGCCUACUAUCUCAUGGACCGAAUCUGGACCCCAAAACAUGGUGGUUUCAGAAACGUAGUCAUGACCGAGGCUCACAACUCAAGAUAUUCCGUUCACCCGGGUUCAGAUAAAAUGUAUCUGGAUCUUAAGAAACUGUACUGGUGGCCUAACAUGAAAGCAGAAAUUGCUACCUUCGUGAGUAAAUGUCUUACUUGCGCUAAGGUUAAGGUCGAGUAUCAGAAACCGUCAGGAUUACUACAACAACCAGAGAUACCAGAAUGGAAAUGGGAGCGGAUUACUAUGGACUUCAUAACCAAGUUACCCAAGACGACAAGUGGACUCGAUACCAUAUGGGUCAUUGUCGACAGAUUGACCAAAUCCGCGCAUUUCCUACCCAUCAAGGAGACUGACAAAAUGGAGAAGCUUACAAGAACUUACUUAAGGGAAGUAGUGCGACUGCAUGGUGUUCCGAUAUCCAUUAUCUCCGAUCGAGAUAGUAGAUUCACUUCAAGAUUCUGGCAGUCACUACAAAGUUCCCUGGGAACUAGGCUAGACAUGAGUACAGCCUACCACCCACAGACAGACGGACAAAGUGAGAGAACAAUACAAACUUUAGAAGACAUGCUGAGAGCCUGUGUGAUUGACUUUGGAAAGGCAUGGGAUAUUCAUUUACCCCUUGUCGAAUUUUCAUACAACAAUAGUUAUCAUACAAGCAUAAAGGCUGCUCCGUUUGAAGCCCUCUAUGGUCGAAAGUGCAGGUCCCCUCUGUGCUGGACUGAAGUUGGCGACACCCAGUUAGCUAAAGGACGAGUUCCUGAAAGCACUCUCACCGGUCCGGAAAUCAUACGAGAAACGACAGAGAAGAUCGUUCAGAUUCGUGAACGAUUGAAAGCCUCUAGAGACCGACAGAAAAGCUACGCUGACCAAAGGAGGAAACCUUUGGAAUUCCAGGUAGGAGACCACGUCUUAUUAAAGGUCUCACCGUGGAAGGGUUUAAUACGCUUUGGAAAGCGUGGGAAACUAAAUCCAAGAUACAUAGGGCCUUUCGAGAUUCUUGCCAGAAUCGGCCCUGUGGCUUACAAGCUUAACCUACCGCGUGAACUUAGUAACAUACAUCCAACCUUCCACGUCUCAAACUUGAAAAAGUGUCUGUCCGAUGAGACUCUUGUUAUUCCACUCGACGAGAUCGAGAUCAACGAGAGCCUCAACUUUGUGGAAGAACCAGUAGAAAUCAUGGACCGAGAGGUCAAACAAACAAAACAAAGUCGCAUACCCAUCGUGAAGGUUCGCUGGAACGCCAAGCGGGGACCUGAAUUCACAUGGGAACGCGAAGAUCAGAUGAAACAAAAGUACCCUCAUCUUUUUCAUAUUCACUAGUAUCUUUACUACUUUAAAUUUCGGGACGAAAUUCCCUCUAACGGGGGGAUGAUGUGACAACCCGAUAUUUCAACUCUAUGUAAUGACCUAAAAAGUCAAUUAUUGUAACCACUUUUGUGAUAAUGAAAUUAACUUCUAAAAUAAAAUGUCCAAAAAGUUUCUAUUUAAUUACCUACUAUGAUUGAUGUCAUUAAACCGUGAUCGUACGUAAAAAGAACGCCCAAAUCCGACUUCGUAUAUUGAAGUUAUGAUUUUUCCAAGUUCGGCUUAGCGACAGACAGCUAAAAACUCGAAUCGGAGAUCGAGCGACUUUUGACCGGAAUGACCUAAACGAGAAUCGAAGGUCUCGACAAUGGUAUUUCAGCGGUAAAAAGUCUGGCAAAAACAGACGUCAGAUAAAGAAGUUAUGAAUUUCUAACGAAAUUUUCUUAACGCGACAUUUUAAAAAUAAAUAAUAAAAAUAAUUUCAAAUUUUGCCGACGGAAUCUAAACGAAAGUUGUAGAGCAUAGUCUCACCUACGCGUGGAUAUAAAGAACGUCGAAAACGGAGUUCGUAUGAAGAAGAUAUGAAUUUUAGAAGUUUAUUAAAUAAAUAAAAUAUAAAUUUUAUUAUUUAUCCUUGGUAUUAUCCGAAGGCAGGUCAUCAGAUAGGGCCGAGUUACGCCCAGCGGAAUCUCGUACGCCCAGCGUACUCAAGGCCUAGGCCUCGGAUCGUCCACGUCUCGCCCUAUGCGAAGCUAGCCUUGUCCCAUCCGAAGUCCGAGGCAGUCAAGGAUCCGGUCAUGCGUGACGCUUGCGUACGCCCAGCGUACCGAGGCGGUUCCCACCCUCUAUAAAAGGGAUGCGAGGGUUUCGAAGAAAAGGGCCAUUCUCUCUCAUUUCUCUUGCGUUCUUGCCUCGUUUUCCGUGCCCGUGCUAACCCGAAGCCCCCGUCACUUUGCUCAAGUCCCAAAGGUUAUUUGUGCUCCUGAGAUUCCCGAGAAAAUCCGUUUUCCCGAGAAGAAAUUCUGCCCGGUUUUCAUCUCGCCUUUCUUCGAUCUUUCAAGUGAGUUCAUACCCCUUAAUUAACCCUUUUAAAUAUUCUAUAAAUGCUUUUAUAUGCUUUCAAGGGGGGAAUACAAGUAAAACACACGAUUAUUAUCGUGUGUUAUAUAAAGUUUUAUUAUACACUUUUAUUCAAUAGAAUCAUAUGUGAUUUAUAAACUUUAUAGGGAACUUUCGUACGUAAAGUAUAUCACGAUAACAUUAUAUCUUUUUGAAAUGAAAAAUGUUGUUAUAUAUGUAUAAAUUAAACACCCUACUUAGAUUACAUGUAUAUGUGUCCAACUUAGAGACUAUAAAAAUCUAUACUUUCAUACCAAGUGAUUCAUUUUCUAGGGAUUUCUAAACAAACGAGACACACUUUUAGAAAGCUAUAAUAGGUAUAGUUUUACGAGAAUAUUGCUAACUUUUACAUACUAGAAACAUAAUUUUCAAGAAGUCACUUUCAGAUACAAGAAACAAACGAACAUUUUAACACGUAAAUCUGUUUUUAUACUAAGAUUUGUGAGACAUUAACUUCACGUACAUUCGAGUACACAUAUCAAGUCCUGUAUUAUAUACCAGAAUCCCUUGGAGGGGGAGCAUGGUGUUUGUGUAUAGAUCUAUACGGGCUUGACAACCCGCGCCCUGACUGUUAGCUACAGUCCACCAUUUGGGGUGACAAACAUCAUAACAUUCCAAUGCCUGAAGAACAUUGUGUAUAGGCAAUCCGAGUCAAUAGUAUGGUUAUAAAAACUCACAUGAGGUACUAAAAAUACAUUGAUUUACAAGGUUUUAUUCAAACAUAUUGGAUGUUUUACACGUACAUACAUUUUCUAGAAACAAACAUUUGUCUUGUUAGAAGGCUACAUUUAUGCUAGUAGAAAAUAUGGGAUUUUCUAGAAACAAACAAACAAAAACAAAACAUUUCAUUUCAUACAAACAUUGUCAUUUAAUACUUAUGAAACUCACCAGCUUAAAUGUUGAUCUACUCUUUCAAAACUACUUGUACAGGGACGGUCCUAGCCGAUUUGAGGCCCGGGGAAAAUAAAAAAAUGAGGCCCUUCUUAGUAAAAGAAUUAUAAUCAAUCAGUUUCGAUUAAUAUACGAAACAGUAACAUGUGUUAAUUCACUAGAACGUUUUUGGUAAAAAAGGACGGAACCUUUCGAAAAAUUAUUAUUAAAAAUAAUUAAUACAUUAGAGGUUACAACUGAACAUAAAUAUACAUGGAUUACUAUAUAGAUUAGUAUAUGUUUAUCUGUAUAAGUCUCCAUUCGUCAACAUGUGAUUAAAACUUGUCUCUUUGCAUAUUUCUUUCUUGAGGUUUUUAUACCGUUUGCUUCACAUAGACAAAAAAAAAAGUCACUAAUUAAUAGAAUAACACAAGAUAUUCUUGAUUAGCACCAUGUGAAAUCAAACAUAACUAGAAAUCAAAUAUUUAAAGCUAAUCUUACAAUAUAUUCAAACCUUAGAAACAUUUUUCCUUUGUUCCACACACCACCUGUACUCAUAUUCCAACAUCCUUUUUUUAUUAUAAUUCUGCUAUAGAUGCUUGUACUUGGAGAAAGUUGAAAAUGUGAUUGAAGUCCAUGGAUAUAAAUUUCUUUUUCUUGUCCUUUGUUUGAUAGAUAGCACGAUUCAUUAUGCAUUCACAAUUGGUAAAAUAUUAAAGAAAAGCACCACUGAUCAUAGAUUAGAAACUUGGAAUCAAUAUACUAUGCAGAACAAAAUGAAAUUGUAAAUCUGUGUUACCUGUAUUUUAUUCAAAAAGUAGAUUUCAUUAUGGCAUUUCAUCAAACACUUAAUAGACAAACAAAAUCACACAUUUUCUCUAGGUAAAGAAGCUUGUGCAAAGGAAUAAAUCCACUGUAGAAAUGAUAAACAACACAAAUGGAAAAGAAAAGUAAUAUAUUAACUUUAGGUUAAUAUCCAUAACCCACUUUAGAAAUCAGAAAAUCGAGUCCCAUUCAAACCCAUAAAUCAAAACCUAAAUCUAUAGAAAUCGAUAAACAAAGCAAAUGAGAAAAGAAAAGCAAUGCAUUACCUUUAGAUUGAUAUCCAUAAUCCAUUCUCCUUGUGAAGGUGAUUAAAUUGCUUCUUGAACUGUUAAGAAAUGUUUUAGGACUUCAAAGAUUUAAGAGGAAGGAAAAGGAAGUUGGGAAAUUUAAGAGACGGCGACUCUAGGAGAGUCUUUUCCUGCUUAAAAAUAAAAAGAAAAAAAGAAUUAUACACAGGAAAAUAAUGUAAAAAUUCCAAAAAAGAAAUGCAAAUCUCUAAAAACGUAACAACCGCGGUUCGAACAUGGGACUAACUUAUAGGACUCAAACUCCCGGACGACUUAACCAUGUCAACUGCACAUUCUUUAGGUUUUGUGCUACUAAAUAUAUUAUAUAUCUUACGCCAUAAUAUAUAUAUAUAUAUAUACACUAACCGUAACUUGUAGGGCCCCGAGAUUUGGCGAGGCCCGGGGCGGUCGCCCAGCUUGCCCUCCCUAUAGGGUCGGCCCUGUACUUGUAUGUCCCAGGGAUUCAGUAAUUACAGGUAUCAAACAGCUUUUGAAGAAGGGACGCUGCGUCAUCAGUUUAACUUCAUAUUUUGGCAUCAUAUUGUAAUUGGUUUUGAACAUGUACUUUUCAAACAAUGUAAACUUUCAAUUAUAUAUAUGAUGAUUGUAUUGCUUUCUUUACUAUGUAUUCAUUUGUUAUGCUACCACAUGAAGUCAUCCGCCUCCGAACGUUUCCGCCGUUCUGGUUUGGGGGUGUGACACAAAUUAGGAACAAUUUGUAUAAAAUACUUAAAUUAUUAAUUUAAAUAUAAAAUUACAAGUUCAACGUAUAUAUAAAUUUUAGUUUAACUUAAAUAACUAAAAUAAAUACUUUGUAAAUAGUUAAAAGUGAUAAAUUAUAGUGUCUUUCUAUUAAUGAUUAUAAGUUGGUUAAUAAAGGUUAAGUAAAUAUUAAACCUAAAAUGUAAUCAUAAAUAAACUAAAUUUCAAUUUUAAAAUAAUAUAUUUAUUUUUACUUAUAAAGUUAUGUCUUUAACUUUGAACAUAUUAUACUUAAUUUAUUAUAUUUAAUAUGUUGUAAUAUGUAAACCAUUAUCAGUUUAAAGCUACAACUUUUGAACAGUUUGGACAAAAUACUUAUAUUGUUAACUUAAAUAUAACAUUACAAUGUCAACUUAAAUAUAAAUUUCAAUUCCACUUAAAUAUAAAAUUACAAUGUCAACUUAAAAAAAACCAACGAAUAUUUUGUAAAUAGUUAAAAGUGAUAAAUUGUAAUGAUAAAUGCAAAAACUAAAUUGUAAUCUCAAUUUAACUAAAAUAAUUCCUAAACAUAUUUUUAUAAUCGUUAAAAUUUUUCAAAUAAGUAGUUUAAAAUAACUUACAAUAACAAUACUUAAAAUUGACUCUAUAUAAAUGAUUAUAUUGUUACCUUUAAAAUCAAAACAUAAUGUUUGAUGUUUUAAAUAAUUAUAAUGAUAAAAAUUAAAACAUUAAUCAAAUAAGUUUUAGAAAUUAGUGAACAACAGCAACCACUAUAAAUAACAUUAAACCAUAUAUUAUAUUUAGUUUUAUUCAUGUGUAACUCGCAAGUAGAAGUCAUUCAAACGAUUGAGAUUAUGAAGUUAUAAUAGAUGUAUAUAUUACCAUAUAAUUCAAAAUAAUCAAUAUAUUAUAUCAAUUUAUUCUACAAAAUAUAAUAUCAAAUUUAACAACAACGUUAUUGUUAUGUAUAAAAAAACAUAUAUUUGUAAAGACUUCAACUAUAUAGGUGUUUCUACGCAUUACAAUGUCAACAUAAAUAUAAAUUUCAAUUACGCUUAAAAAACAAAAUAAUAUUUUGUAAAUAGUUAAAAGAUAUAAAUUAUAGUGAUAAAUGCAAAAACUAAAUUGUAAUCUCAAUCUAACUAAAAUAUUUCCUAAAAAUAUUUUUUAUAAUCAUUAAAAGUUUCCAAAUAAGCAGCUUAAAAUAACUUACAAUAAAAAUAGUUAAAAAUAACUUUAUAUAAAUGAUUAUAUUAUCACCUUUAAAUAAAAAAAUAACGUUUGAUAUUUUAAAUAAUUAUAAUGAUAGAAAUUAAAACCUUAUGCAGAUAAAUUUUUAAAAAUUAAUUAACAAUUACAACAACUAUAAAUAACAUUAAACGAUAUAUUAUAUUUAAUUUCAUUCAUGUGUAACUCGCGGAUAGAAGUCAUUCAACCGAUUGAGAUUACGAGGUUAUAAUAAANUAUAUAUAUAUAUAUAGGGAAUAGUGAAUAUGUGGUUGUAAUUUACCUAAGUUUAUAUAUAGAACCCUCCAAACUAUGUAGUUUUGAUCCAUAUAUAUCAAAACCAAUCAUGAUAUCUCGUUUACUAUUCUUCCUUAAUCAUGUGACUUACUAAGUCAAUUGAAAUUAUAUUCUUUUUCUUCAUUGUGUCUAAGAAUUUAAAACAUUAAACUCAUGACCAUUUAAUCAACUCUUCUAAAAUUUAAAUGAAAACUAAUAAAAUAAAAGAUAAAAGAAGAACCUACAAUAACUCAAUCAAUUUUUUCAUAAAUCAUUGGAGAUAGUUUUUCAAUUGAAGGACAAAACUUUUGAGUCAUAUUCGAUAAAAAAAAUAUUGGUUUUUUACUUUCUUUAUAAACUUCAAUGAUUUUUUACAAUAAAAAAUAUAUAAUUGAUCUUUUGCAUUUCAUUAUUUAAUUUAAUUCAAUGAUAAUCUAUUAAAACAAAUAUAAAAGACAAAUGAAAUUGGAUUUUUUUUUUGUUUAAAUCUACAUUAUUUAAAAGGUUCUAUACCUAAGCUUAGGUACAUAACAGCCACAUAUUCACUUUUCUCAUAUCUAUACAAACCUUACUAUUUCUAAAAAUAGAUUUAAGACGUCCAAACCUUUCAACUAAAUAUACAAACAUUUAUCAACAAAUUACAAAAUACAAUGCAUUAAGUACCAAUGUAAAAUUAAUAUUGAAACAUUCAAACCUACAUCCUUAUCUUACCCAAUAUAGAUAAUUUAAAUUUUAAAAAAAAAUCAUAUUCUUUGACUAGAAUGAGUCAACAUGGUACAAUCCUUAAAACAUAAUAUACAACAAGUUUAUGCAAUCAGAUCUUAUCCGUGAAUCAGUCAACAAAUGUUAAACCAAUCUUUUCUCAAUUUCAGCUUUUAAAUUGGUCAAAAUCAAAUGAAUCGGUUAGAUCAAAUCUGACUUCUUGAAUGAGUUGAAUUGGGCAUUAUUGUUUCAAAUGAAUCUUAUCACCCUUGUUAUUAAGGCGUUAUUGUUUUGACCUGACUCAUUCUUUAUCUCGUUGUUUCCUCAUAUCUCGGCAGAUUAUCUUCAUUCUUCAUAUAAAAUUGAAGACACAUCCAAAUCAGUGCCUCUCUAUCUGUGAUUAUCACCUAAACCUCCACCGUCCAGCAAUAAGAAGUCAUUUUUGCGUUUGGUUCAUCAUGUCUAUUUAUUUACCGAUUUUGUAUUUUUUUGUUUAGGGCAAACUAAUUUCUGAAAGAAAGUUAAUCGCACCCGUCGCUUGGCGCGGGUAAACGGCNCAUAUAUUAUCAUAUAAUUUAAAAUAAUCAAUAUAUUAUAUUAGAUUAAUAUAAAAAUUAUUAUAUCAAAUUUAAUAACAAUGUUAUUAUAAAACUAAAAAAAAUAAAUAUUUGUAAAGACUUCAUAUUUGCGUAGUAUGAAUAAUAAAUAAGGCAGAUCCAAAUGACAAGCCGACUGUAUUUAGUUGAGAGUCCAUAGGCCUAUCUAGGAUAACUCAAAAAGCCGACUGUAAUUCCAAAAAGCUCCACAAAGCCCAGAGACUCAGACUCAAGUUACUCGGUGAGUUUGUUCGUUCUCUCACGUCUUUGUCUCACCUCUCUCUUUCUGCACUAGUUUCGACCACUGAUGCACACCACCGGAAACGGAAAGAUGUCUUCCUCUCUAUGAGCUCUGAAUAUCCUGUUUUCCGGUCUCUAGUUUCAAGUAAGUUAACCUAAUUCUUGUUGUUUAGUUUUAUUUAAACCCCAAAUUACUUUACUUACUUUAUUAGUUUUGUGAUCUUUUAUAUCCAAGCCGUAAGUUAUAUACCCUAAAGUAUAUGACUUAAUUUUUGGGAUGAAUUCUAGCUUUUCAUUAUUGUGAUAUUAUGUGAUUUUCAAUUUUGUAAACUCUAAAUUAGGCAUGAUUAUCCCUAUAGUUCAUAUAGCUCAUAUGAAUUUACUUGGUCAUAGCUCUAUCUUGUUCCAGUCUUGUUUGCCCAACUUCUAUUUGGAAAAUGAUUGUUUCUGCAUGUAGAACACUUGAAUCUACCAUAUAAACUGCUUUUUUCACCUUUUUUUUUGUUCUAUAGAUGGUUUUCCGUUUGCUUAAUGGUUCGUUUUGACUAAAUCACAUUCUCUAUUGUUUAUGAUGGAUAUUGAUGACAUGUUUGGCCAGUCUUUUUGGAGCGAUGGAUGAACAAAUAUUCUUCUUUUUGUAGGCAGUGAAUAAGCCAUUUGAAUGAGUGUAAAUGACCAUUUUACCCAUUCACUAAGUAACAUUUUCUCAUUAUGCCCUUCUAGAAAACCAUGGAUCUUUACGACAUAUUUGGCAGUCUCUAAAUUUAGAAGACACCUACCUAAACGAAGGCUUCCAAGAAGGCUAUGACACCGGUUUUGCCUUGGGAAAAGACGAUGGGCGUGAAGUUGGAUUAAAAACAGAGUUCAUAAAUGGUGAGGAAUUAGGGUUUUAUAGAGGGUGCAUCGAUGUUUGGACCUCUGUGAUUCGAGUUGAACCCACGUGCUUCUCGAAAAGUGCUCAAAAGAAGAUUAAAGAGAUGGAUGAAUUGGUGUCCAAGUAUCCGAUUUUGGACCCUGAAAACAAGAAUGUCACACAUAUUAUGGGAUUAUUGAGGGUGAAAUUUCGGGCUAUUUGUGCAGCAUUGAAUAUGAAGUUGGAGUAUAAAGGGUACCCGAAAGAAAACGACAUUCUGUUUUGAGGUAUGUAAAUCAAUAAUUAAUGGGGAAUGUUUUUGGAUGGAAUGGAAUCCAUCAAAGGAAUUGGAAUCCGAGGGAAUUGAUGAAGGAACUGUUAUGAUUGGUCCUAAAUCUUGUUAAAAACCAAUUCCUCCUUUCAAGAUUCUUUUAGAAAGUUAUUUUUGGUUUUGUUUGCAAUCAUUUUGAAUCAGAAGUAACAAACCAUAUUUUUUUUCUAUCAAAUCCUGUUUGAAUAAAUAAUGUUUAAAUUAUUUGAAAAGAUGAUGAGAAGGAAGUGAAAUUUAUAUAAAAAAAUUAAAAUUUAAUGAGGAAAUCUUUUGUCUAUGAUUCUAAUUAUUAGUUAAUUCCAUGAAAUUAGCAGAUGAGAUCCAACUACAACUGUUUUGUUGGAUGAAGCACAGGUUUCAGAUCCUCUCAUCAUAGCUAGUUCUGUGAAAAGGUUUAAUAAUUUGCUCAAUGUUAUCUUGUUUAAAUGGUAAUCAAAUUCUCCAUGGAGAUGUUAAAGCUAACCACUUUUUUUCUGCAAUGUUUCUACAUGUUCUACCUGAGUAAUUUUUUGAAAAUUUAAAUAUGAUAUAUAUAACUUGAUAGUUCCCUUUUUUCAUUUCAGUGUUGGAAUUCUAGAAGAGUUGUGAGAUGAAGAUAAGGAACUCUUUCCAGUUGAAUGUAUCAUAGAGAUGAAGAAAGGAUCCAUCUUCUCUUAAUGUCAAACAUAGCAUUGGUUGCGCCUUAUGAGCCAUUAUACUUGAAAAUUUGUGUAAAAAUUAAAAGCUCUUAUUCUUAGCUGCUGUUUCUGUUUUCUUCUUUCAAAUCUCACUUUGCAUUUUGUGGUCCCAUUCCCAUCUUGUAGAUCUAGGUAUGAUUCCUGCCUGGUAUCAAGGACAUAUCUUUACCCAUUUUGUUCCUCUGUUUUUUAUUUCUUAAUUUUGUAAGCGUUUGUUACACUUUGGAUAGUAUUGAUAAACAACUAUGAAGUCUAGUUGAUUUGUAUGUAUAGUCAUGUGCUAAUUUAUCAACAUUAACAAGAAAGAGAUCAGGUUCAUGAUUCUCCUGACUGUUCAUAAGUAUUUUUUAGAGUUUUGUUUAUAAGUCCUUAUUUGAUUAGGGUAAGUUUUCUUCUUUUUAUACACAAUAAUGUUUCUAGCUUUUAGGAUUAGUUGAUUGUUGGAGAAAUUAUAUUCAUUGUGACCAUUAAAAGAGCAAAGGUCUUUUGUUGUUCUAUCUUACUAGUCAUUAUUUCCAUCAUCCUUCCACCAUCACUUUUAAAUAUGUGGAUUUUCUACAUAUAUUGUCUUUCUAAAGCUUAUUGUGUAACUUGUUUUUAUUAAACAAAUAGUAAAUGUACACGCUUUUGAUGCAUGGGUACAGAGGUACUGAAAAAAUGUGAUGGUAUUAAAAAAUGUUGUAUUGCACAGGCUUUGUAUGAAAACCGAUAAUUUUUCAUGCCUGUAUCACUUGCUCUAUAUUCUAUUAUUCUUAUUUAGAUUCGAACAUAUGUUUAAUUAAAGCAGAGCUUAGCUUAUUGACGACUUUAAUCCACUAAUUGAUCAUCUUUUUGCUGCUUAUUAUGUCUUAUUUAAUUAGAGUUGAGCAUGUAAUAUAAGUAACAAAGGUACUAAUCUGCUGUGUGUAAGGAACAACUCGUAGAGCAGGGAUGUAGUGUCAUUGUAAAAACUCAUUGUGCAACAAUAAUCAUUUUAUGUAAGUAUUUUUAUGUGUAACUUGCCUUGUAUUAAAACUACUAUGACUAAUUUAGUGAUGAUGUCAAAUUUUUAAUUUUUCAUUUAAAGUACCAAUGGCUGGAAAGCAUUAAAGUACAUUGCUAUUAAUAGCCAAUGUGAGUAUGUUGGCAUCAUGGUAAAAAACUAUAAGUAUGUUGCUGUUUUCCCUUCUUCAAAAGAUUUUUCCCCCUUUUUGGUGAGUUUUUAUGUGUAACUGAAUCGAACAACCCAGAUCAAACCAUAUCACUUAUAAUUUAUUGAUGAAAUGAUUCAAGCUGGGAAUGCUCGAAGAUGAUGGCUAGCUGACACCACAAAUCAGGUACAUGAUACGCCUGGAUGUUCAAGCAGGUGGGGCCAGGUGUAUCGGAGGAGAAAAUAAAAUUAUUUUUAUUACAGUUUUGUAUUUUUGGUAUUUAUUUGUUACUUGGGAGAUAAGAUAUUAUCUUUCCUAUUAUCUUUUCUAUUAUUUAGGAUCUGGAUUUGCAGAACAUUAUAAGUAUGAUUGUUUCUAGUUUUAAAGCAUCAAGGAAUAAGAAUUAAACCUUAGGGUUUUCUUGGAGUUUUUCCUGUUCUCGAAUUCAGGACCUAUCAUCUUGGUAUCAGAGCACCGAUUCUGAUGGCCGAUAAACUAGAAGGGAAAGGGACCAAUGCCGAAAGGUUGGGCUCUUUGGAAACCACUGUCAACCGGAUCCUGGAUGCGGCUGAGGCGCAUAAAGAGGAGGUAACAAUGAAGAUGGAUGAUCUGACUAGGGCUUUUUCCGAUUUGGCCCUGGCAAUGAAAAGAUCGGUCAAAAAACAAAAAAAAGGUGAUGCCAGUUCUUCAGUGGAGUCACAAAGCGACACCACUAGCGACAGCGAAGAUUCAGACGCUUCACAAGGCUCAAAGAAAUUUAGAAAAAAAGAGAAAAGGAGGAGUACUGGGCAAGGGUAUCGAAAAUUGAAGAUCCCUAUUUUCAGUGGGGAAGACGUGCAAGGUUGGGUUUACCGUAUUGAACAGUAUUUCGAGGUCCAGGAGGUCAAACGGAAGAAACGGCUUAAGGUGGUAGCGGUUUGUUUGGAGGGACCACCUCUCUCGUAGCAUCGUUGGCAAGACUCCAGGAAACCAUUCAACUCAUGGAUUAUGUUCAAAACCAAGUUGUUAGAUCGUUUUCAAUCAUCUCGGGAGGGUAGACUGUUGGAGCAAUUCUUAGCUCUCCAACAAGAUGGCACUGUUAGAGAUUAUGUCGAUCGUUUUGAAAGCCUUGCUGGCCAAGUAAGUGGUGUCUCGGAAUUUGUCCAGGAAAGUACUUUUAUAAAAGGCCUUAAGCCAAGUGUUCGUUCCGCUGUACGGAUUGCNGGAUUGUUGAACCGGAAUCGUUGUCACAAGCCAUCCGCAUGGCCCUGAAAAUUGACGAGAACAAGGGGCAAGGAGAGGUUAAGGCGGGUGGGUAUGGUACAAGUAAGUGGAACAACGGUGGUGCCGCCAAGACAAUUGCCACCCACACCCCGACUGGUAUUGUACCAGAAAAGAAGACGAGCUCGAACAACGGGGGCAGUACUCUCAAAAGACUGACACCGACCGAGUUAGCGUAGAAAAAGGCUAAGGGUAUUUGUUUUCGUUGUGAUGGCAAAUAUUCUCCGGGUCACCGCUGCCCUAGCAAGGCGUUGCAAGUGUUGUUGGUUGAUGAAGAAGAUACUGUAGAGGAGGAAGAAGAUGGAGACCACCCGCAUUUGGAGGGAAUUGAAGUGUCCUUAAAUUUUGUUUCGGGUCUCACCCCUCCGCGCACGAUGAAGGUACGGGCAAACAUUCAGGGGGUCCCGAUGGUAGUAUUAAUCGAUUGUGGAGCCACCCACUCAUUCGUCUCUAACCGGGUAAUCGAGAUUUUGGGGUUAAUGGUUAUUGAUACGGGAUCGGUGAGGGUCGUGUUGGGCAACGGGAGGAAAGAUAAGACACGGGGUACUUGCAAGGCAGUGACCCUAGAAUUGUAGGGGUGUAGUGUGGUGGAAGAUUUUAUUCCUUUGGAUUUGGGAAGUUCAGAUUUGAUUUUGGGCAUCACUUGGUUGCAAACGCUGGGUAAUGUCACAUCGAAUUGGAGGGAGUUGUGGAUGAGUUUCUGGGUUGACGGUCGAUUGAUCACCAUACGCGGGGACCCGAGCCUCUCUAAAUCCCUUGUGUCGUGUAAGGCGUUGGGGAAAUUGUUGCAAAAGGAGGGUGAGGGAUUCGUCAUCCACGUAGGUACUAUCAAAGACGAAGGCGAUUCAGGUCAGAACACGGGAACUACUCAGAUCAUAUUGGACAGUUUCAGAGAGGUUUUUAACACUCCGGAGGGGUUACCACCAUCAAGAAGCCACGAACACGCCAUUAAUUUACGCGAGGGAACGGGCCCCAUCAACAUCAGACCGUAUCGCUACCCACAUGUGCAAAAAGAUGAAAUUGAGAGAUUAGUGAAGGAAAUGUUAGAGGUGGGAGUGAUUCGGCCAAGUACUAGCCCGUUUUCGAGCCCGGUGUUGUUGGUCAAGAAAAAAGAUGGUAGCUGGCGGUUUUGUGUUGACUACCGGGCCCUCAACAAAGCAACAAUACUCGACAAAUUUCCGAUUCCGGUCAUAGAUGAGUUGUUGGAUGAGCUUCACGGGGUGGCGGUUUUCUCAAAUUGGAGCUUAAGUUGGGGUACCAUCAGAUUCACAUGAAGACGGAGGAUAUUCCGAAAACCGUGUUUCGGACACAUGAGGGCCACUACGAGUUCUUGGUAAUGCCGUGUGGAUUGACAAACGCCCCGGCUAAUUUUCAGUCGCUUAUGAAAAAGGUAUUUAGACCCUUUUUACGAAAAUUCGUGCUGGUUUUUUUUGAUGAUAUACUAGUGUACAGCAAAACCGAGCAUGAACACCGGGAUCAUCUUUCGACGGUACUUCGAGUUUUGCAAAAAAAAUCAUCUUUAUGCAAACCGAAAUAAAUGUUAUUUCAAUAAAAAACAGAUAGAGUACCUCGGUCAUAUUGUAUCAAAGGAUGGGGUUGCGGCUGAUUCGAGCAAGGUUUCUGCCAUGUUGAAAUGGCCACUACCCAAAACCUUGAAGGCGUUGCCUGGGUUUUUGGGUUUAACAGGAUAUUAUCGGAAGUUUGUUAAGGACUAUGGGAAGAUUGUGUGGCCGUUAACGGAACAAUUAGAGAAUGAUAAUUUUAAGUGGAACGAUGAGGCUACCGAGGCGUUUAAGAAAUUGCAACUAGCGAUGACUCAGCUACCGGUUUUAACUCUUCCGGAUUUUUCGAAGGAGUUUGUAUUGGAAACGGACGCAUCAGGGUAUGGUUUGGGGGCGGUUCUCAUGCAAGACGGGAGACCGGUGGCUUAUUUCAGUCAAGUGUUGGGGGCUCGAGCGCGACUAAAAUCAGUUUAUGAGCGUGAGCUCAUGGCCAUUGUGUUGGCUAUUCAAAAAUGGAAGCCGUAUUUAUCGGGUCGUAAAUUCGAACCGAUCAACGUAGCCUGAAAUUUUUACUCGAACAACGCGGGGUUACGGAAGACCACCAAAAGUGGUUAUCGAAAAUUAUGGGGUUUAAUUUUGAUAUUAUUUAUAAGCCGGGCAGCGAGAAUCGGGUAGUAGAUGCGCUGUCACGUAUCGAACAAGAGGCGGGAUUGACCGCGAUUACGACAGGUGGUGUUGAUUGGGGAGAGCUGUGGUCAGAUUUGGAUGCUGAUCCGGAGAUGGCGGCAAUUAAAAAAUGUGUUCGGGAUGGGUUGGCUCCGGUGGGGUAUUCAAUUAACCGUGAUCGGGUGGUGUUUGAGGGCCGGUUGGUCUUCCCGAAGGGGUCGCAUUGGGUGUCAGUUAUUUGCAAGGAAUUCCAUGAAGGUGUUGUCGGGGGUCAUUCCGGGGUACAAAAGACUUACCAGCGGCUUGCAAGAGAGGUGUAUUGGGUUGGAAUGAAGGGCAAUGUGGCUAGGUGGGUGGCGGAGUGUGACACAUGCCAAAGGCAUAAGUAUUCGACCAUGUCACCUAGUGGGUUGCUUCAGCCACUUGAAUUACCAUCGACGGUUUGGUUAGAGCUCACGAUGGACUUUAUUGAUGGUUUGCCAAGAUCGGAGGGUAAUACCGUUAUUUUCGUGGUGGUGGGUCGCUUGAGUAAGUAUACCCAUUUUCUGCCUCUCAAACACCCAUACACGGCCAACAAAGUAGCGAAUGUGUUUCUACUGGAGAUUGUUCGUCUUCACGGGGUGCUGGAGUCCAUUGUAUUGGACCGGGAUAAGGUGUUUGUUAGCAAGUUUUGGAAGGAGCUUUUCCGGAUGAUGGGUACCAAGUUGCGGAGGAGUACAACUUACCACCCGCAAACCAAUGGGCAAACCGAAGUGGUGAACCGGUGUUUGGAGACUUACCUCCGGUGUUUUACGGCUGAGACACCGUCUCGGUGGGUUUCUUGGCUACCGUGGGCGGAAUAUUGGUAUAACAGUUCCUUCCAUACCUCCGCGAAAACGACGCCUUUUCGGGUCUUAUAUGGGUGGGACCCGCCUCACUUGGUUUAUUAUGGUAAGGUGAAGACAGUGAUGGGUACGGUGGAGCAAUACUUGGAAGAAAGGGAUCGGAUGUUGCAAGAGCUAAAAAGACACUUGCUCAAAGCCCAACAAUAAAUGAAAAAGCAUGCGGAUGGGCAUCGACGGAACGAGAACUUUGAUGUGGGAGAUCGUGUGUACUUAAAAUUACAGCCCUACCGGCAGCGAACUGUGGCUUGACGGGUAAAUGAGAAGUUGGCACCUCGAUACUUUGGUCCUUUUGAAGUCUUGGAAAAAAUUGGACUCGUAGCAUACCGGUUGUUUCUUCCCGAUACAGCUCAAAUCCACAAUGUUUUUCAUGUGUCUCAUCUUAAACGUGCUAUCGAUAACCGGGUGGCUACUCCCAACUUACCAGCUACUUUGACAGAAGAAAUAGAAGUUUUGUUGCAGCCGGAGGCGGUGGAAGGUGUUCGUGAGGGGGCCAGGGAUAAAGAAGUUCUAAUUCGUUGGCAAGGUCUGCCAGAGUAUGAAGCAACAUGGGAGGAGUUUGCUAUUUUGAAGGGACAGUUCCCUGACUUCAACCUUGAGGACAAGGUUCAAAAUUGGGCGGGGAGUGAUGAUACGCCUGGAAGUUCAAGCAGGUGGGGCCAGGUGUAUCGGAGGAGAAAAUAAAAUUAUUUUUAUUACAGUUUGGUAUUUUUGGUAUUUAUUUGUUACUUGGGAGAUAAGAUAUUAUCUUUCCUAUUAUCUUUUCUAUUAUUUAGGAUCUGGAUUUGCAGAACAUUAUAAGUAUGAUUGUUUCUAGUUUUAAAGGAUCAAGGAAUAAGAAUUAAACCUUAGGGUUUUCUUGGAGUUUUUCAUGUUCUCGAAUUCAGGACCUAUCAGUACACAGGGAAACUUUUUCAUUCUGAUCUGAUGGAAACUUUCAUUAUAUUCUCAGGCUCAUUCAAUCUCAUUGUCAGAUUCUUGGAAUUAAUGUACAACACUAUCAAGGAAGGAUGGGAAACUCAGCUAAAUAUAGAGCAUCUUACUAGUAGGGAGUAUUUUGGGUAUAUAUGCUAUCUAGUUUGUUACAGCGUAUAUAGUGCUUAAUUAUAACAGGGUAUCAUUAUCUUUUGUCAAAUAUGGUCUUAGAACCUUUGUGAGAGGCUAGGCUAUCAUAUCUGUAGCAAAAUCAUUAGGGGUUUCUCUUGUAGUUUUAGUAUCAUCAGUACAUUCAGUGAAGCUUGUAUUCCUGUUCUUGUUUGUGAUUUUAUAUUAAAGUCAGUUCUUAGCAUUCUAGCUUGUAAUUAUGAAGAAAUAUUUGUAUGCCCACCGUUGAGGACUUUAUCGUAAUUUCAGACUAUGAUGUGUAUACAAGAAAUGAAGUUAUCGGUGACCCGUGUGGUUACGUCUGACCUUUGUCGGAAGCGUUCCAUAUAUCACCUAAUAGUAUUUCAAAUGCCACUUUCUUCAAUGCAGUUCAUGAAGCUAUCAGUCCAAAAGUCCAAAUUAUCCCUGAUGAGAUGAUGAGAUUGACACUGAAGACUUGAACAUCAUUGAUGUUGAAGAAGAUUUUAGUGCACCAAUCUUUGUUCAUCAUACAGAAGCUACGUUGGAUGAAAUAGACAAGAUGGUAAUUUGAUUUCUCAUCUGUUUUCUAAUCUUCUUGUUCCUUGCUUGUUUUAAGUUGAAAAUAGCUUAAAAGUAUUGGAUCUUUAUUUCAGGAUGAAGAUGUAUACGAGGAGCCAGUUUUGGACAUUGACAAUGCUGAUAAGGGUAAUCCCCUGGCUGUGGUUGAGUACAUUGAUGAAAUUUUCGCCCACUACCGAAAACAAGAGGUAUAUAUUUAUUUAAUCUUUUUUGUUUGUCAUGAUAAUUCUUGUUUUAUGUAUAUUCAUGUGCAUUCAUUGAUGGAAGAUUUGUGCAUCUACUAGUAGUAGAAAAUGACUUAGUAACAAAAUUGCAAAUAAAAGAUAGGAUUGAAUGUAGAAUGAUACAAAAUGAGUGGCAUUUUUCAAUACAAUUUCAGGUAUUAACUUGUGGUAGUUGAGGUAACAACACAUUAUUACACAACUAUUUACUUAAUUUUAUUCACAACAAUUAUAAAAUGAUAGCAAAUACUAAUAAUAAUAUGAAAACAGGUUCAUUACAAAUUUGAAUUGAUGGAAGAAACUUUAUAUCUAACAGUCAACCUCAUUGACCGAUUCCUGGAACGUCAAACCGUGUCAAGGAAGAAGUUCAGCUUGUUGGGGUGACAACCAUGCUUCUUGCAUGCAAAUAUGAAGAAAUCUCUGUCCCUGUUGUUGAGGACUUUAUUGUAAUUUCAGAGAACGCUUAUACAAUAACAGAAGUUCUUGACAUGGUAAUUAGAUUUAGUGAUUUACUUUCUGUUACAGGCUAUAUAAAAUAUAAAGAAAGUCCUUAAUUAUGAUAUUUUGUUUUUGUUUGAUGUUUAUGUUACAGGAGAAGGUAAUGGUGAACACCCUUCAAUUUAAUCUCUCGGUUCCCACUCCAUAUGUGUUCACUAAAAGAUUUCUCAAAGCUGCACAAUCUCAGAAGGAGGUGUGUUUUUUUUAUCUGUCUAUUUUCUUUAGAAUAUUGAUCUUGUGCUAGAAUUUAAAUAUUUUGGACAGAUAGUACGAUGAAUAUGUUCACUUCUUUGUGUCCAAGAAAUGUUAAUCUUCCAUAGUAAACUACCGAAUUAACAAUUCUAGACAAAAAAAAGUCACAAAAAUAUGCUCUUUUCACGUUCAAGAUUCUAUAUGUAAUGUUUUUGUGAAAGAAUUAAUGAUUUUGGACAUUAAAAUACGAAAUGGUGAAGUUCCCACCUUCUUUACUGGCAGCAGCUGCAGUCUUCAUUGCAGAAUGUGUGCAGAAUGUGUUGGGGUUGGAAAACUCUUCUAUUAAACACUAAAAUAGAAUUACAAUUGGAGGAGCAACUCUCACACUCAACUAUUACAAAAAACCAACCCUCUCACUAACACUCUCACUCUAAGUGUUAUACUUUGUGUUUCUCUGUAUUUGGGACGCUUACAACUGAAGAAUGAAGUCUCUAUUUAUAGUCUUGGCAGCCACCAUUGUAGUUGCCUUCAUUAACUGUGUUCAUCAUAGGUUUGAAAGACUUUGCCACCCUAGGUCUCAUUUUGUCAACAAUGGUGGCUACUGUAGCUUUGGAGGCUGGAACACAACAAAUCUCCCCCUCCAGUCUCCGUCCAACAAUCCUCAUCCCAACUAUGUCAGCACAUAGUUUGUGUUUCUCUUGUGUCACCACCUUUGUUAGCAUCUCUGCAGGAUUGUUGUUGGUGUUGAUCUUUAACAACUUCAAUUCUCAUCCCUCAAUUGCUUCUCUAAGCCAGUGAUAACGUAUAUCAAUAUGUUUUGUGCAGAAAUGGUACAUUGAGUUCUUACUCAGGUCCAUAGUACUCUUACUUAGGUCCAUAGCACUCAGUUCCACAAGAAGAGUACUUCUUGUGGAUAACCUAAUUCUUGAAGAAACCGUUACAUCCAUAUAAGCUCCUUCCCAGCUUCAACGGCAGCAAUAUACUCGGCUUCUGUUUUUGACAGCGCGACACACUUCUGUAGCUUGGAUUGUCACGAGAUAGCUCCCCCUACCAAAGUAAAAAUGUAACUUGAUGUAGAUUUCCUACUAUCAAGAUCUCCGGCCAAUCGGCAUCUNAUAACCUUCCACAAUUGGCUUUGCUCCCCCGUAGCAUAAACAUAGUUUCGAACUACCCUUCAGGUAUCGAAGUAUCCAUUUGACUGCUUCCCAAUGUUGUUUUUCCGGAUUAGCUAGAUAUCUACUCACAACACCGACAGCAUGAGCAAUAUCUGGUCUUGACACACCAUUGCAUACAUAAGACUUCCUAGGGCUGAGGAAUAGGGGACUGCCUUCAUCUCUUCUUUUUCUUUCUUAGAAGAUGGACAUUUUUCCUUACUCAACUUGAAGUGGUUAGCCAAGGGCGUACCAACGGGCUUGGCAUUUUCCAUGUUGAACCUUUUGAUCACAUGUUCAACAUACUCUUCCUGUGAUAAGAACAAUUUUCUUGAUUUUCUAUCACGGAUAAUUUUCAUGCCCAAUAUAUGUUGUGCUUGGCCUAAGUCUUUCAUAUCAAAGAACUUAGACAAAUCCUUCUUCAAGUUGUUGAUCAUCAUUGCAUCUAGGCCCACUAUCAACAUAUUAUCCACGUAGAGCAAAAGGAUGACAAAUUUCCCAUCUGGAAACUUCUUCAGAUAGACAGAAUGGUCUGCAACAGUUCUCUUGUACUCAUGAUUCAUCAUAAAUGAAUCAAACUUCUUGUACCACUGCCUUGGGGCUUGCUUAAGACCAUAAAGGUUGUUCUUUAAUUUACAGACGAGAUUCUCUUUCUUUGGGACUUUAAAGCCAUCGGGUUGCUCCAUGUAUAUUUCUUUAUCCAAAUCACCAUGGAGAAAGGCUGUUUUCACAUCCACCUGCUCAAGUUUAAGAUCUAGACUGGCAACUAAUCCGAGUACAACUCGAAUAGACAUCAUCUUCAGAACCGGCAAAAAAAUUUCAUCAAAGUCGAUGCCUUCUUUUUGUUGGAAGCCUUUGACAACAAGUCUCGCCUUAUACUUCAUAGUAUUUCCCUUUCCGUCUUUCUUCAGUUUGAAUACCCAUUUGUUUUUCAAGGCUUUCUUUCCUUUGGGGAGUUUCACAAACUCAUAUGUUUGAUUUUUCUGCAAAGAAUUCAUUUCUUCUUCCAUGGCCUUCUGCCAAUUUGCUUUGUCAACAUGAGAUUAAGCUUCUUGAAAGCUCUUUGGCUCCCCCUCACUAGUAAGAAGGAUGUACUUUCAAGUAGGAUAUCUUCUUGAUGGAGCACGGACUCAUUCAGAUCGUCGAAAUUGAGUUCCUUAAUUUGCAACUUCUGGCAGUGGAUCUGAAUUAUCCAGGGGUGGAAGCUUCCCUUGCUCAACACCUUCUUGAUCUGCAUCAUCGACUUCUUCAUCCACUUCUUCAGCGGAAACAUUUUCUAUAUUUUCAGAUAUUAUUUUUGAAACUCUGGAGUCUGGUUGCUCGUUAAUUGAUGCCUUGAAAUCAUAAUAUUGGUUUUCAUAAAAAACCACAUCUCUGCUUCGAAUAACCUUCUUUAGUUAUUGGUCCCAUAGUUUGUACCUGAACUCUUCAUCUCCAUAUCCAAUAAAGAUGCAUGGAGUGGAUUUGAGGUCCAACUUCUUCGGUAAUUCACUUGAUACAUGUGCAAACGCCUUGCACCCAAAUACUCUCAAGUGAGAGUAUGAUAUGUCUUUACCCGUCCAUAUCUUCUCGGGAACUUCAAAUUUAAUGGAGCGGAAGGUGACCUAUUUAUUAGAUAGCAAGAUGUCCAUACAGCUUCACCCCAAAAUGGCUUUGGGAGUUUAGUCAUGCUGAGCAUGCAUCGAACUUUCUCAACAAUAAUGCGAUUCAUCCGUUCUGCUACACCAUUGUGUUGUGGGGUUCGUGGGACAGUCUUUUCAUGUAUGAUACCAUGUUUCGUGCAGUAUUUAGAGAACUCAUGGGAAUAGUACUUUCCUCCAUUAUCUGAUCGGAGACAUUUUAAUUUCUUGCCUGUUUGUCUUUCCACCAUUUCAUGAAAAGCUUUGAAGCGGUCCAAUACUUGGUCCUUCUUCCUCAAACAAUAUGCCCAUACCUUUCGUGAUGCAUCGUCAAUGAAUGUCACAAAAUAUCGGCUUCCACCAAGAGAUUUUACUUCUAUAGGUCCACAUACGUCGGAGUGGACAAGGCUCAGCAACUCAGAGCGGUUCUUUCUUGUGGAGCUAAAGAAAACUCUGUUGUUUCCCAAAUAGGCAGUAUUCACAAGGAUCUAGGGCAACAUAUUUUGCCAUUGAAAUGGACUCCUUCUUUGCAAGAGUCGUCAAUCCCUUCUCGCUCAUAUGGCCUAGUCUUCUAUGCCACAAUUUUGGUGAUAUCUCUUCUUCAACAGCAUUGAGACUUGGUUGAAGUAGCUUUGCAUGGCUUUUAUAAAGAGUACCAUCAAGUUGUCCCCUUGCAACAACCAUAGCACCUUUUAACAACUUCCAGGUGCCAUUUUUGAAUUGAUUAUCAUAUCCUUGGACAUGAAAAGCUCUAACUGAGAUAAGAUUCAUUCUUAGCUUUGGGAUAUGUCGAACAUCUUUCAGCACCAAUGUACAUACAACAUUGGUCUUUAAAUGCACAUCACCAAUACCAGCAAUGCUUGAAAAACUGGUGUUUCCCAUCUUCACGGUACCAUGGUCUCCGGGUUUAUAAGUAGUGAAUAAAUCCCGGUUUGGAGUCGAAUGAUAUGAUGCGGUGCUAUCAAUCACCCACUCAUCAUCAUGAGUUCCAACAUGUAGGCAAGCUUCUUCCUCGUAUGUAACAAGGGCAACGUCUUGUGUUAUGGUUGAUGGGUUUUGGCCAUAUGAAUAUUUCUAUGUGCACAUGCAAACCCUAAUGCUUGGAUCUAUGGCUUCUAAUCAAACAUGCUUGUAUCCAAGACUUCUAAUGGCUAAUUAGGUAUAAAACAAAACAGAAUCAGAUCUAGAAACAUACCUUUGAUUCUCUUGUUUGUUCUUGUUGUCUUGGAGCUCUAGAGUCACAAUUGUCACUACUUUAAUGGCUUACAAACACCAACUAGCAAGAGGAUGAUUUGGGAGAGAGGAAAGAGCUAUAAAUCGGCCAGAGUAUCUUUACCUAGGAUGAGUGCUGAUUUCUCAAGCCUAGAGGGUCUAUUUAUACUUGCAAGGCUCGUAGGGUUUCACCUUUAAACACUAACUAGAUAACUUAAACUCUAAGUUAAUCCAUAUCCUUUCCGUAGAUAACCCUUUGGACGAUUUUGGCUGAUCAUAGCCCUAGAAAUCGUCCAAUCCUUUAUCUAUAAGGAUUUACAGCCUAAAGUCCAACUAUCAAACAAUUGACAGUUUAUACCCCUUUAUUUAAUUAAUCUCUUUAAGUCACCAAAUUAAUUCUAAUUAAUUCUAUGACUUAUAUUAAUCAAAUAACAAAUAUAUUAUUCAUUAUAUUAUUCCCAUAAUAUAUUAAUAAUAUUUACUCUCUCUUAAUAAAUCAUCCUAUCAAGUUGCUAUGGUGAAGGCAACCCAAAAGGACCAUGCACAACCGGAUCAAAUACUUGCCUAAUAUAGUUACAGCCUUAGACACUAUUCCAACAGUCUCCCACUUGGAUAAGUCUAGUAACUAUACAAGUACAAUUCGGUUUGCAAUCGUAGCUCUCAAAGACGCUGUCAACUCUGAUCUAAUCAAUCUUGUCCUUUAGAUAAGGGAACGUACAGUCCUCUGUUAGAUAUCAUGCUGACAAUCCUAUGGAAUGGUUAGUCAAGCAUUUAGGUUUCUCGAUCUCUGAUUUAUUUGACAUAGAACUUAAUCGAACACAUCAAUUCAGUUCUGACCGGGCCCGGCACAUAAGUCAAAUCAAAUCAUCGAGCGGCCGAGAUAUCGCUUUUACCUUCUUAGAUAAAAGUUACAGAUAAACUUCGACUUAUAUGCAUUUACUUAUUCAAUAAUCAACUAUACACAAUAAUGUGUUUUAUAACAUUGAGUUACCAAUGCGUUUUCGCAUUAUCAAUGUAUAAUCAAUUAGCAAAUAAUAAACCAUAUAUCUAGGUUUUAAGAUUAUAUGAUAUUAUCGUCUCGCGAUCACCUUUUAAAUCAUAUUCCAUACGGUGAUUCCAGCAAGCGCGGGUUUGUUCCAAUGCUCAAAACCAGUUCAUAAUCACUCAUGAACAUCGUAGCAAUCUUUUUCUAUGUCUAAUACCAUUUAGACAGUCUACGCACCAAUUCACGACAAUCUUCAUUCAUAUCUACUUCCAACAUAUGAACGAUUGUGGACAAUUUGAAUAAUUCGAUUAUUCCUAAUAAACUCAAUUAUUCUGGAAGUCAAAACAUGCAAAGUGAAACAAUAGCUAAACAAUUAACAUAAGAUAGUAACAUUACUCAUAAAUAAAACUCCUUUAUUUAAUCAUCAAAUGUCAAUUACAUUUAUCUAUUACACGUUUCUAAUACUAUCUAAUCUAUGCUAAUAUCAUCCUUCAGCCCAAUACUCCUAGCAUGCUGCAAGUGCUUAACCCUACUCAGUCCCUUCGUAAGCGGAUCUGCUGGGUUAUCUUCUGAUGAUAUCCUUUUCACUACGAGUUGUCCUUCUUCCACACGAUGUCUGAUGAAGUGGUAUUUUCUGUCGAUAUGUCGAGAUCUACCAUGAUCCCUCGGGGCCUUGGUCAAGGCAACCGCUCCUUCAUUAUCACAUAAAAUCUCUAUGGGAUCCUUUAUGGUGGGUACAAGUCCAAGAUCUCCGAUGAAGUUCUUCAGCCAUAUUGCCUCCUUCGACGCUUCGCUCGCUGCAAUGUACUCUGAUUCGCACGUUGAAUCAGCUACGGUUUCCUGCUUGGAACUCUUCCAUGUCACUGCUCCUCCAUUUAGGGUAAAGACCCAGCCCGACUGCGAACGGUAGUUGUCCCUGUCGGUCUGAAAACUGGCGUCACUAUACCCUCGCACCUUCAAGUCAUCACUCCCUCCGAGGACUAAGAACCAUUCCUUUGUCCUCCGAAGGUACUUAAGGAUAUUCUUCACCGCAAUCCAAUGUGCUUUGCCAGGAUUCCCUUGAUAUCUGCUAACCAUGCUCAAAGCGAAGGCUACAUCAGGGCGAGUACAAGUCAUAGCGUACAUGAUUGAGCCAACUGCGGAAGCGUAUGGUACUCGGCUCAUUUCUGCUAUCUCAGCUUCGGUACUCGGACUUUGAGUCUUACUCAAUUUGGCAUUACUUUGUAUCGGUAGUUCUCCCUUCUUUGAGUUUUCCAUACUAAAACGUUUUAGUACCUUCUCUAAGUAAGUAUUCUGACUAAGUCCAAUUAGUCUCUUACUUCUUUCUCUUACUAUCCUUAUUCCCAAAAUGUAAGAAGCUUCUCCGAGGUCCUUCAUAGCGAAGCACUUCCCGAGCCAGGACUUAACCUUUUGCAAAUUCGGGAUGUCGUUUCCUAUGAGUAAUAUUUCAUCAACAUAUAAAACGAGAAAGCUUACUAUACUCCCACUGGCUUUGACAUAUACACAAGAUUCGUCUUCGCUUCGUACAAAUCCAAACUCUUUGACUUUCUCAUCGAAGCAAAGAUUCCAUCUGCGAGACGCUUGCUUAAGUCCAUAAAUGGACUUCUCAAGCUUACACACUCUAUUCGGAUGCUUCGGAUCCACAAACCCCUCUGGCUGAGCCAUGUAAACAUCCUCAGCCAACUUCCCGUUAAGGAAAGCGGUCUUGACAUCCAUUUGCCAAAUCUCAUAAUCAUGAAAUGCGGCAAUUGCUAACAUCACUCUAAUAGAUUUAAUCUUCGCAACUGGUGAGAAGGUCUCAUCAUAGUCAACUCCGGGAGUUUGAGUAAAGCCCUUCGCAACCAAUCGCGCUUUAUAUGUGUGUACGUUUCCAUCCACGUCGGUCUUCUUCUUGAAGAUCCAUUUGCACCCAACGGUCUUACGUCCGGGCACAUAAUCAACCAAAUUCCAAACUUGGUUAUCAUACAUGGAUUGGAUCUCGCUAUCCAUCGCCUCUUUCCAUUUCGCAGACUCCGGGCCUGCCAUUGCUUCCUUAUAGCUAUUAGGUUCAUCAAGAUUUACUAGUGUACCAUCACUAAUAUAUGUGUCCCCUUCAGUAGUAAUAUGAAAACCAUAAAACUGGGGUUGAACUCUAGCUCUAUCGGAACGUAUAGGAGGUAAGGACUCGUCAAUUGGUUCAACCGGAGUUUCCUCGGGUUGAGUGCCAGCAGUAGAGGUUCCUUCAUCUAUCGAAUCUUGAAUUUCUUCGAGCUCGAUUUUCCUCCCACUGUCCUCUUGGCCUAUGAGUUCUCGCUCUCGGAAAACUCCUCUCCUCGCAACAAAGACUACAUUAUCCUUCGGUCUAUAGAAGAGAUAUCCAAAGGAUUUCUGNNNNNNNNNNNNNNNNNNNNNNNNNNNNNNNNNNNNNNNNNNNNNNNNNNNNNNNNNNNNNNNNNNNNNNNNNNNNNNNNNNNNNNNNNNNNNNNNNNNNNNNNNNNNNNNNNNNNNNNNNNNNNNNNNNNNNNNNNNNNNNNNNNNNNNNNNNNNNNNNNNNNNNNNNNNNNNNNNNNNNNNNNNNNNNNNNNNNNNNNNNNNNNNNNNNNNNNNNNNNNNNNNNNNNNNNNNNNNNNNNNNNNNNNNNNNNNNNNNNNNNNNNNNNNNNNNNNNNNNNNNNNNNNNNNNNNNNNNNNNNNNNNNNNNNNNNNNNNNNNNNNNNNNNNNNNNNNNNNNNNNNNNNNNNNNNNNNNNNNNNNNNNNNNNNNNNNNNNNNNNNNNNNNNNNNNNNNNNNNNNNNNNNNNNNNNNNNNNNNNNNNNNNNNNNNNNNNNNNNNNNNNNNNNNNNNNNNNNNNNNNNNNNNNNNNNNNNNNNNNNNNNNNNNNNNNNNNNNNNNNNNNNNNNNNNNNNNNNNNNNNNNNNNNNNNNGUGAAGGGUGACUUAGUCAUCUUUCCAAGCAAACAAGACUCGCAUGUGUCAUCUUCCCUAAGGUCGAAUGACUCCAACACUCCAUCCUUUUGGAGUUGGGCUAUGCGUUUCUUGUUGACAUGUCCAAGACGACAAUGCCACAAGGAUGCUUUAUCCAUACUAGUGGAAGAAUCAAUAUUCAAAACAUCAUUUCCUAAGUUAUCAACAAUCAUAACGGUUUCAUAUAUUCCAUUACAUGGUAUAGCUUCAAAGUAAAAGACACCAUUUAGAUAAGCCAAAAUAGAACCAUUCUCAUUAUUAAAAGAAAAUCUAAAACCUUGUCUAAACAAACCAUGAAAUGAAAUGAUGUUUCUAGCCAUUUCUGGCGAAUAGCAACAAUUGUCUAAAUCUAAACAUAAACUAUUCCUAAACACUAAAGAAUAUACUCCAAUCUUGGUCACAGGCGACGAUCAUCUGUUCCCCAUGAUUAGAUUUAUCCUUCUUUGCUCCACAUCGCUACUUCUUUUUAGUCCCUGCACAUUAGAACAAAUGUGGUAACCACAACCGGUAUCAAGAACCCAAGAAAUAGCAUGAUUAGAAUCGUUAGAUUUGAUUGUAUAUAUACCUGCGAAAGAUGGCUUGAUCUUUCCUUCUUUGAUUGCUUGCAGGUAAUCUGGGCAGCUUCUCUUCCAAUGUCCUAUCUUGUGGCAGUGGUGACAUUCAGCCUCCUUAGGGUUAGGGCAGGGCUUAGCGGGAUCAACUUUGGUCCCACUAGAAGAGGCACCAUCUCGGGCUUUCACCUUGUGUUGGUUCUUGGAUGAAGCCUUCCUCUUCUUUCCUUUCCCUUGACCAAUUGCCAAGACAAGAGCAGCGGGUGGAAUGGGAGUUGGUGCAACAGACUUGUCUUUGAAGUUGCUCUCAGCGACCCUCAAGAGACCUUGGAGUUUGCUUAGUGUGACCUCCUCUUUGUUCAUGUGGUAGGUCAUCCUAAAUUUAUUGUACAUCGGAGGCAAAGAGUGAAGCACCAUGUCGAUCGCCAAGUCUUCCCCAAAGUCAACAUUUAACUUGCGAAGGCGGUCGACAUACCUUUGCAUCUUUUGCAAGUGCACGGUAAGAGAUUCUCCAUGACCCAUCUUCGCGGAAAUCAUGUUAGUGAAAAUCUCGUACCUCUCUUGUCUCGCGUUUUGGUGGUACCUCUCCAAUAAGUCUUGAUGCAUCUCGUACGGGUAUAUGUCCUCAUAGGACUUUUGGAAUUCGGAGUUCAUUGUGGCUAUCAUGAUGCAAUGAACCUUCGUUGCAUCAUGCUCAUGAGUUUCAAAAGCGUUCAUUUCAGCCGGAGUAGCAAUUUUAGCAUUGACCCUUUCAAGCUUCUCAUCGAGGACAUAAUCCUUGUCUGCGUAGCGAGCAAUUGUGCGAAUGUAUCUUAUCCAUUCGCUAAAGUUCGUUCCAUCGAAAGUGACCGUUUGGCAAAGGCUCAUCAAUGUGAAAGAACUAUCGGCAACGUUGUUGGUCUUCGACAUCUACAAUUAGAAAGGACAAAGAUAGAUUAGAAUAUGAAUCCCUAAAUUUCACCCAAUAAGAAAAUUAGGGCUAGGAUCCAACAACAAUAUUUACAUCUUAGAAAAGGGAUGCCGUAAUCUAANNNNNNNNNNNNNNNNNNNNNNNNNNNNNNNNNNNNNNNNNNNUAAACUAUUAGUCCUAAGUGUUUUUGAGAAUUCCUAGGUUCGGAUGAGAUUCAUUGAAACUAUUCAAUGGCAUGUUUAAAUCUCGAUAUGCCCCUCUUGUUUGUGACUGGGAUGCCGAGGAUCACAAAGCGGGUGUGAAUUACCAUGCAAAUUCACAUGGCGCCUUCAUUGUAACAAUCACCUAUUCGACGUGCCGGUAAACCACACACGCUCCAUCGAACUAUGAUAAACAACGAAUCACCCUUCGCCACCUUCGCUUAGAACCAAUUAGUGUGCCGGUAAACCACACAUGCUCCACUAACUUCUUAGCAAGGUGCAAAGUGUAACUAAGAUUGGGAAAUU